Molecule: long non-coding RNA, 51039 nt
Filed under: Citrus sinensis (sweet orange)
Lineage: Eukaryota; Viridiplantae; Streptophyta; Magnoliopsida; Sapindales; Rutaceae
Description: long non-coding RNA (CSIN_LNC000918)
Source: RNAcentral
AAGGAGCAUUCCUUUUUCCCAUAUGAGCCACCAGCUGGAAGCAAAAGAUUCAGGAAUCUGAUUGCUGACUUCAUGAAAAUGUACCACCAUAUUCCUUCACCACUCAUCUUUUUUUUUUACUUCUGUGUACAAGUAAUUUUUGUAUUGUCUGUCCUAGAUUCUAUUUUCGCUGAUGCAUUAUUUCAAUUUCUUUGCACGUGAAGUCCUAGGAUCAAUUUCCCCUGAUGCAUUAUUUCAAUUUCUUUGCAUGUGAACUUGGAGCAUUCAUAUUAGUUUAGGAGUGAAUCUAUUGGUCAUUUACUUGUUUGUAACAAAUAACGUAUGAAACAAUCUUGUUAACUUUUGUUCUCAAUAUGUAGAGCUCUAUGGACCAAUUGCUUGUCUUCUGUUAUCCUCAUUAGAAUUUCUUCAGACUACUUCCACUUCAUGCUAUUUGUGAUAAGUUGUAUUGUUUUUGUGGUCUUUCUUAUGUCUGUUGGACAAAUACUGUAAUAUGAAAUUUUAUCUAAUGGUGUCCUUUAUUCCUUUUGCUUCAUGUCCCCUCUAGUAGUUAAAUGUAUUUUUGGAUUUGUCAAUUAUUUGGUUUGAUGAAAUCUUGAUUCUCAUGUUAUCUAUCUGUUCAUUCAACUAGACCAUGGAAUGUGUUGUUGCUGUGAGUUACGCUGCACGUGCUUGUUAUUCGUCUAGUUAUGCAACUUUUAUGUAAACAUACGUGUUUGGAUGUACUCGUAUAUAUACUGGACCUGAGAUAUUUGCACCUGACCUACUUAUUGAUGUACGUGUAAAAUGAAGAACUUUUUGAGAUCUGGAAUGGAUCAAGACCUGCAAUUUUUAUUUGUAGAUUUUCCACUCUCCAGUCCAAUUAUAAAAGACAGUUUGUGAAUGCUGCAUAAAUAAGCUAGCCAAACUUAAAGAUGCUUAGUUGCCUCUUUCUCUUCUUGCGUAUACGAGUAAAACAAUCCACAUUCCUAACUUUUCUUCUCCACUUGUUUCUCAAGAAUGUUGUCUUUCCUUCAAGAGCUGUGUGGCAAUUGUGAAUGCUCUUCGAUUGUUUUCACCUCGUCUUGAACAUCUAACGGGACACUUACCGAAGCAAUGAUUAACAAGUUUAGCAAUCAAGGUAUGAUCUAUUUCUGAUUGAUUUUUGUGUUAUUUUUGACAUAGUUGAAGAUGUCAUUUUUUGGCAGAUUUUCUUUGCUAUUCUUGGAACAAGUAAUAGUGCUUAUUGCCUUGUUUGCACACAUACUAGUCUAGACACACCACAUAAGUUUUUGGAUGAUGAAAUAUCAGAUAUGAACUCAGCACAUUGUUUACCUGUUGCCUUUAUUCCUCAAGUGACAGUAAAAACUAGUAAUUGCAGUAGAUGAUAGAUUUAAUGAAAAUUACUGGGCAGCCAGACUUUUGUGUUGACAUUGAAGGGGGAGAUGGACAAAAGUCGAAGUAAUAUAAUGACGGUAAAAACUGGUAAUUGCAGGAGAUGAUAUAUUUAAUGAAAAUUACUGGGCAGCCAGAGUUUUUUGUUGACAUUGAAGAGGUAAUAUGGACAAAGGUCGCAAAAGUGAAAAAUAUUUCAUUUAACAAAUCCUAAUAUUGUCGUCCAGCCUUUCUGCACUUCUCUGCUCAUCAAAAACUCCUUUUACCAUCCAUUUGACCAUACACAAACCAAUUUACCUUCCAUUUCAACGCCCAAUUUGAAAAAAAAAAGUAGUUAUUAUAAAAUAUUUCAGUCGUCCACUGUUCAGUCACCAAAAACCAAUUUACCUUCCAUUUCAACGCCUAAUUUGAAAAAAGAAAAUACUAAUAAUAAAAUAUUCCAGUCGUCCAUCCUUUCACAAAUCAAAAAUAUCACCAAAAACCAAUUAACCAACUAUUUGAACAUAAGGUAUAUGGGUUAACAAGUCCCAAUAUUGUCCUCCAUCCUUUCUGCACUUCUCUUCUAUCAACGGACAACUCAAGAUACUUAAUCGCAAAAGUGAGGAAGGCAGGCCCUUCUCCGGAAAGUAUUUGAGCUUGGGACAUCCAAAGAGAUACAAUUCAGUGAGGUUUUGAAGAUCAACAAUUGAAGAAGAUAGGCGUUCCAGAUUUGGAAAUCUGCCAAUCUCUAGAUCUGUUAGAGAGGCAGGAAGAGGAAGCGCAGUCCCUAAUCUUUUGUCCUCCGGUGGGAAUGACACCAUGUCGGCAUCACAUCCAUCGAUUGUAAGAUGUCGCAGAGAGGAGAAUCUGUGAAAUCCCCGGCCCCGCUCAAUCAUUGACUUCCAAAUCUCCAUAUUACCCCAAAUAUCAAGUGAACGAAGGUUGGUGGGAAGGCCAUCUUCUUCAAGGCUUGGAAGCUCACCUCCUAUUGUUAAUUCUUGAAGAGAGCUCAGAUUGUGCAAUCCCUUGGGUAAGGCCUCUAGUCUCUUACAAUCAGAUAUCGUCAGCCUCCUGAGUUUCGCACAAGGCAAUCCCCCUUCGGGAAAGGACACCAGAUUUCCACACAUCAUUAUCCAUAUCUCUUGAAGCUGGUGGAGAUGAUGUAAACCACUCGGUAAAAUUUUGAGAUUUUCACAAUAAGAAAUGUCGAUUGUUUCAAGAGAUGUGUUGUUGUCCCACCUUUCUGCUAUUGACUCCAGCUUUGAACAUCCCCAAACACGAAGGGACUUAAGAGACGGAGGUAGAUUGCCAACUUCAAGGGACUCAAGCGUGGCAGGUAACUCGUUUUUUGAAAAUAUACAUGUCAGUGAUCGACAACUCUUAAUGUGCAAUUCCUCAAGAAGAGAUGAGGUGUACCUUCUGUCGCUGCUACACUGGAUGCCCUCUUCCACUGUCAAAGUCCUUAUAUUAUCACAAUCGCUGAUUCUCAGCUGCUUGAGGCUCAGUGGUAGCUGGGCUUCAGCAAUAUAUGUCAACGAAUCGCAAUGCAAAAUCGUCAACAUCUCGAGAGAUGAAUUGGUGUCACACAUCCAUGCCUCUGGUAAUGAUUUCAGUGCAUCACAUUCUCUAAUCUGAAUUUUCUUCAACUUGGAAGGCAAAAGAUCAUGCUUCUUUCUAAUGUCACAUUUGCCUUCUAUUCCAGUAACAGGAACUGUCAAUACUAGUUUACUGUAAUAAGCCUAAAGAGUCAAUAGCAAAGAAACUGUGUAUAAGAUCCACAAUAACAUAAUAACGCCAAAAAGUCAAAUAGAAACUUUGUAUCUUAUCUUUGUAUAACAUAAGAUCCACUUUCACUUCACGGAUAUAUGCCUCCUUUGAAUCUUCAGGCAAAUAAUUUGAGUAAAACUCUUCCCAAAUUCUCUUUAUCAAUCUCGUGGUUGUUGCUUGCAUUACCUUGUUUUUUGAUGCUCUCAGAUUUGAAUUUAUUUCCUUCUUCAGCACCACAUUUUCUUCACCAAAGACCUGGUGUGGCGUCUUUCCUCCAUUUUUUCAAAAAGACCAGACACAAAUGCACACUUGCUGAUCCUUUUAUUAGGAAGCUCUGCAAAUUGUUGGAGUAUGAUAUGUCCAUGAACCACCACAUACCUUUCAACUUCUGUGGGAUUGGAAGAAAUAUAAGCAGGAUUAGUCUUACUGAACUUGGACACUUUUUUUAUUACAUCUGCAAAACGAGAGUCGAGAUGCUCGACUCUGAUUGUUCAACAUUGUAAUGAGGGCAAUAGCAAGCCUCGCAGAUUUUAGAACUGGUUUGUACCACGCUGCAUACUGCUUUGAUCUGCUGUACCGUACAUCCGCCUUGGCCGUACAGCAGAAGAGAUGAGGUGUACCUUCUGUCGCUGCUACACUGGAUGCCCUCUUCCACUGUCAAAGUCCUUAUAUUAUCACAAUCGCUGAUUCUCAGCUGCUUGAGGCUCAGUGGUAGCUGGGCUUCAGCAAUAUAUGUCAACGAAUCGCAAUGCAAAAUCGUCAACAUCUCGAGAGAUGAAUUGGUGUCACACAUCCAUGCCUCUGGUAAUGAUUUCAGUGCAUCACAUUCUCUAAUCUGAAUUUUCUUCAACUUGGAAGGCAAAGCAACCUCAGGAAAGGAAACAAGGGAACUGCACUUGCAGAUUUCUAUCUCUCUCAAGGAACUGAGGCUGAACGAUAAUUGUGGCAGCUUCACAAGGCCUUGGCAUUCGCUCAAUCUUAGAUAUUCGAGUCUGCUUGACAAUUCGCAGAGCUGCUGUUGUUGGUCUUUCUCUUCCUCCGCCACCAAGGAUUGAAGUUUGGGACAGCUGUCAAUCGUCAAUCUUUUGAGAGAGCAAAUGUCUUGCAGUAAUUCGUUACGACUCUUCCAUAUAUGUGUUUCAUUUUUAAUAUUAUUUAUCUCCAAUUCUUCCAGUUUUGGUAUUCGCAACUUCAAUGGCCCUACGAGAAACACUUGAUUUGAUGUAUCUCUACAAACCACUGAAUUCUGUGACCCGAUAUGAUCAGUUGCACUUCUCCACACAACCUUUUUACAUCCACCAAUUACCAAUUCGCAAAGAGCUGGAAGACUCGUAAUUGAAAUUGACAAUUCUUCGCAUUCUUCAAUAACAAGCAUCUCCAAUGCAUGAAGGUGCUCUGGAAAUGUUCCUUGCAGUUUAGAACAUCUUAAAAUGUGAAGCUCUCUCAAUUUAGGAAACUGUUCAACUCCCUGACUGGAUCCAUGAGGAAUCCAGUCUUCCCAUUCUUGCAUGUCUUCAAAACGAAGAGUCUCCAAGCAUGGAAAAGGAGUUGGAGAGUCAUUCCCAUAUAACUCUGAACCCAAUCUCUUUACUCUACUCAUUCCACGCACUGUAAGAUGCUUUAGAGAGGGCAGUUGCCCGACAGACGGCAGGGCAGUGCACAUGCCGCAAUCUUCAAAUUUAAGUGUCACUAAAUUUGAGAAUGAGGAAUCUCCUAACCAUGUUGGAAAUUUUGUACCUCCAUAGCCACAGACACAAAAUUGUUCCAGAUUUUCAUGGGGUUUGAGCAUGUCAAGCAGGCCCAUUUCAGUUUCUGCCUCCCUUGAAGAUGAACCAUCGGUGCUGCAAGUCCAAUUAAGCGAUAAUUCUUUAAGAUUCUUCUUUCCAUCCAACCGAGCCUCCUUUGCAUCACCAAUGUCUUUUACAUUCUCUAAUUUUGAAAUUUUAAGUGUCCCCUGAAGAUGCAUCAAUGACUUUAGCUCUCGUAACCCAGAACCAUUGUCUUUUCCCACAACAAAAUUACUCAACGUCUGAAGACAAGUCAGCUUACCAAUUCCUACUGGCAUUUCCUCCAACGAAUCUGUAUUUGAAUUAUUGAGAUGAUGCAAUUUGAUGAGGUUUCCCAUGGCUGCACACAACUUCUUCAGUCGCCGACAGUCUUCCAACAGAAGGGUGUGCAAAUUGUAAAGCUUGCUGACUGAUUCAGGCAGAGUUUUAAUCUCAGUUCUAGACAGGUUAAGGUGCCUUAAAUACCUCAAAUCACCAACUGAAUCCGGCAGCUCGGAGAUGUGAUAUCCACGCAGAGAGAAGAUCCUCAAUCGUUGGAGUUUGAACAACUCAGUAAGAAUGCUAGGAGCCAAGUAUCCAUCCAAACUAUUCGACAACAUUACUGGUAAAAAAGUUCGCAAAUGUUGGAUAUCAUACAAUUUCUCAAACCUUUGAACGCCAUCACAAUCUCCACGAAUGUAUGAUAGAUGACAAAGAUUUCUAGAAAAACAUUGUUGCUUGUUAACCUCCGAGGUAUACUCCAGUGUGAAGUAUGUCUCCCCUGCAGCCCAACGGGCAAGAUCGUUGAUAAGAUCGUGCAUAACAAAUCGUGAUGCAUCGGUGGCCGAUUGCUGGAAAAAAGAUCUUGAACGUAGCUCCUUAAAGAAAUCACGACCUAAAUCUUCACUAGGAUUCUCAACUUCUUUGUGAUCCAAAAAACCGGAGGCACACCAUAAUAAAAUUAUCUCCUCCUCUUCAAAUUCAUAAUCCUUUGGUAACAAUGAGCAGUAUGCAAAGCAUUGUUUCAAAGUUGGAGGAAGAUAAUAAUAGCUCACCGCAAGGGCUGGUAUAAUGCGGCAUCUCUCUUCUGGUAAUUCCCAUAUCUUGCUACUGAGCACACGUUCCCACUCACGUCUGUCAUGUUCUCCACGUAAAAGUCCUCCAAGUGUCUGUGCUGCCAAGGGCAAGCCAUCGCAUUUGGUCACUAUCUUCCUGCCGAUUUCCUCCAAUGACAUAUGUGAACUGAAAUCUCGCGUCCCCAAAGAAUGUUGAGCGAAUAUAGCUAGACAAUCAUUAUAUGACAGCUUUUUUAAUUGAUAAGCUGGAAGAGUCCCCAUGAUUUUUGCAACCUCAUGAUUGCGAGUACUGACAAUAAUCUUACUUCCCUGUGCACUUGCUCCAAGCGGACGGCUGAAGUCAACCCAAUCAUCGUAAUUCCGGUUCCAUACAUCAUCUAAAACAAGCAAAAAUUUCUUUCCAGAUAGUUGCUUAUUCAGUUCCUCUUGAAGCUUAUUCAAGUUGAGAUUAUCCACAUUCUGGUGAGUCACGAUGGAUGUCAAGAUUGUUUUUGUUAGCCUAAUAACAUCGAAAUCAUCUGAGACACAAGUCCAUGCCUUGAGAUCGAAAUGAUUCUGCACUCGAUCAUCAUUAUAGGCAAGCCGAGCAAGAGUAGUUUUGCCCUCCAACAGAAGGGUGUGCAAAUUGUAAAGCUUGCUGACUGAUUCAGGCAGAGUUUUAAUCUCAGUUCUAGACAGGUUAAGGUGCCUUAAAUACCUCAAAUCACCAACUGAAUCCGGCAGCUCGGAGAUGUGAUAUCCACGCAGAGAGAAGAUCCUCAAUCGUUGGAGUUUGAACAACUCAGUAAGAAUGCUAGGAGCCAAGUAUCCAUCCAAACUAUUCGACAACAUUACUGGUAAAAAAGUUCGCAAAUGUUGGAUAUCAUACAAUUUCUCAAACCUUUGAACGCCAUCACAAUCUCCACGAAUGUAUGAUAGAUGACAAAGAUUUCUAGAAAAACAUUGUUGCUUGUUAACCUCCGAGGUAUACUCCAGUGUGAAGUAUGUCUCCCCUGCAGCCCAACGGGCAAGGUCGUUGAUAAGAUCGUGCAUAACAAAUCGUGAUGCAUCGGUGGCCGAUUGCUGGAAAAAAGAUCUUGAACGUAGCUCCUUAAAGAAAUCACGACCUAAAUCUUCACUAGGAUUCUCAACUUCUUUGUGAUCCAAAAAACCGGAGGCACACCAUAAUAAAAUUAUCUCCUCCUCUUCAAAUUCAUAAUCCUUUGGUAACAAUGAGCAGUAUGCAAAGCAUUGUUUCAAAGUUGGAGGAAGAUAAUAAUAGCUCACCGCGAGGGCUGGUAUAAUGCGGCAUCUCUCUUCUGGUAAUUCCCAUAUCUUGCUACUGAGCACACGUUCCCACUCACGUCUGUCAUGUUCUCCACGUAAAAGUCCUCCAAGUGUUUGUGCUGCCAAGGGCAAGCCAUCGCAUUUGGUGACUAUCUUCCUGCCGAUUUCCUCCAAUGACAUAUGUGAACUGAAAUCUCGCGUCCCCAAAGAAUGUUGAGCGAAUAUAGCUAGACAAUCAUUAUAUGACAGCUUUUUUAAUUGAUAAGCUGGAAGAGUCCCCAUGAUUUUUGCAACCUCAUGAUUGCGAGUACUGACAAUAAUCUUACUUCCCUGUGCACUUGCUCCAAGCGGACGGCUGAAGUCAACCCAAUCAUCGUAAUUCCGGUUCCAUACAUCAUCUAAAACAAGCAAAAAUUUCUUUCCAGAUAGUUGCUUAUUCAGUUCCUCUUGAAGCUUAUUCAAGUUGAGAUUAUCCACAUUCUGGUGAGUCACGAUGGAUGUCAAGAUUGUUUUUGUUAGCCUGAUAACAUCGAAAUCAUCUGAGACACAAGUCCAUGCCUUGAGAUCGAAAUGAUUCUGCACUCGAUCAUCAUUAUAGGCAAGCCGAGCAAGAGUAGUUUUGCCCAGCCCACCAAAACCUACAAUAGGUAUAACCGAGAAUCCACCAUCAUUUCUCAAAUCAUCCCUCAACAACAAUUCAACAAUUUCCUUCUUAUCUGUUUCCCUGCCAUAGACGUUGGCUCCAGUCACUACAGAGGUUGUCUCUAGCCUUUGACUGGCUUUUUUGGACCCUCCAGCUGAACUUACGUUCAAACCCAGCGAGUCCUUCUGUGUCACAAUUUCUUGAAAUCUGUCGUUGAUCUCUUUGAUUUUGGACAUCAUGGCGUAAUCGAACUGAAUCAAUUGUGGUGUAAAAGUGGUGCAGCAAGUAGGAAUGAGCUUCCGAAACUUACUUGUUCUUGUACGACUGCUACUGGGUUGAUCCUGAGCAGCAGCUGGAUCUCCAUUUCCAAGCAGCAACUUCCUCCGGAAAGCCUCAGUUUGAAACUCAUCCAACAAGUCUUCAACAUCAAAAGCCAAGUUCUGAAGCUCGCCAAGCCACAAUUUCACAAUCUCAUCAGUCCUCUUCUUCUCCUCAGCAUCAGCAAGCACCGCCUUGAUCUUCAAAAGCAUCGUCUUCCACUUCAUUAGAUCGGCCCGGAUUUGAUCUUGGCGUGGAAACAACCGAAUCCCCACUGAAGCUAACUUAUUGACCAACAACUCAACGGUCGCCGUCAGGAUUGCCUCUCCGAUGACUGACAUAUUUUUUUCUUUUUUUUUUGGGUGGAAAGAAAGAAACAGAACUUUAAGUUUUGGAAAGCAAAAUGAGAAAAUUGAACGGUAAGUGUGGAGAGUCAAGCAAAAUGCGCGUCACGAGUCUUCCACUUGUCGUUUAUUCCAGUAAAGUGAAAAUAAAAACAGAGCCCACCACCCAUUAAUAAUUUAGCAAUUCACCAAUCACCGGUCAGGCGGUCACCACCACUUGUUACCAGAUUAAAUUAAUAUAAAUCGCGUGUGGAUAUUUGUAGGGUCAAGCAACUGCAACAUUAAUCCAGUGUCCGGGUAAAUGCUGAAUAAAGAGGAAAAUGGAAUGUAUCUACUACGAACCUUCGCUUUACAAGUCUUCAAAGUCAUAAACUGUCAAAACGUUUCUCUCUCUGACUUCAAAGUCCUACAAUUUUUUUAUAAUCACACAAUGAUAAUUUCAAUUAUCAUGUUAUAUUAAUAUCGUGUUAAAAUAAAUUAUAAUAAAAUUUUAGCCGAAUAUAAUAAAUUUGACUUAUUUAUUAAAUAUAUAUAUUUAAUAAAAUAAUAACACAAUUAAUAUGUUAUCAAUCAAAUAAAAACUCUAAUGUGAAAACAAAAACUUUCCCACCACCAAUAAUUUAGCAAGCUUCAGUGCUUCACUUUAUUACACUAAAGUGAAAACAAAAUCGGCCCCCACCACCAUCAAUAAUUAAGCAAGCUUCAAAUGCCUGUGCUUGUCUGCUUGACGAACUGAGCAUGGGUGGACCAAGCAUCAUUGAGCAAUUCGAAAAAAAUUAAAAAAAAAAAUAAUCAGUGCCCAGCUAAGAGAAUCCAUCUUUAUGUGUUGCUUCCUACUUAGUACAUCUACUGAUACGCACAUCUAUCUAACAUUUAGAAAAUGGAAGUAGAAAUUGGAACUCACUUUAUGGCUCGUAUGCAAUGCACGUAUCAACAUUUAAUUAGAGUUACGUGUGUGUGUCUAGUUUUAAUUGAGAGAUAAAUUAAACAUAAAUACUUAGAUGUUUCUAAAUGAUUGAAUAAUGAUAUUAUUGAUAUUUAUAAAUUUCUAAGAUGCGAUAAUUAUGUGGGGGACAUAUAUUUAUGGUUAUAGAAAAUGGUGGUAAAAAUGGUACAAAUCUAAUAUAAUAAAAAAGUAUAAAUUGCAGUAAAUUAAUGUUCACCUCAAAGUACGUUAUAAAUAUCACUUUUCUUGUUACGUUAUUUGCUCCCACUGAUUGAAUUAUGCAUAUGGAUUAAGCAAAUAUAUAUUUAGGAUACAAUAAAGCGCUGAUUUGUUUGUUUACAUUGUACAUCAAUGAUAGCAAACAUCAAUAUUGUUGAAUGUUAUAAGUCUACCGAGAAUUAAUAUAUUAUUCUUACAAAAAAAUAAUAUGUUGGAUAUUUGAUGCAUAAAAAAUAAAUAUUAAUUGAUGAAAUUCUUUUGAAGAAAGAGGACUACAAAAAAAUGGUUUAGAAUCAUUUUAUUCAUGUCUAAUUGACAUUUAUUUUUAUGAAUGUGAGGGUAUUUUGGUAAUUUUAUGGACACAAGAGUUGUGUGUUGUGGAUAGAUGUUCGUUUUGAACUACAUUGCGUGCAGUUAGUCGUAUUUCACAUUUAUGAAAAGUAACUAUGUCGUUUCCUUGAUUAGGAGAAACUGCGAGUGAGAACCAAACCGCGAAUAUGAACGAUAGUCGAGUUUAAGCAUUGUCACUAUGAAUGAAAUAUGCAAACUCAUUUUCAUAUUUUAUUAUGAUUUUAGAGUGUAGUAAACCAUGUUUGUAAAAUAAGAUUUUAAUGCUCUAAUUUAAUGAUUUCUAGAAUAAAUUUGAUUUACGUAUUGGUACAUUAUUAAAAUUUUAUGAAUAUUGGUUUUCCCUAUCGAUUUUGAGUAAAGUAUAAUAGUAUUUUGAAGAAAAUAAAAGUAAUUUAAAGUAUGUUAAUGGAAAGAAAAGAAGACUUAAUGUACGAUUAAAAAUGUGUUAUGUAUGUGUAUAAAAAUUUGUUAUUAAAAAUCAUGAGACAAAACCCUCUCCCUCUAGUUAUAAUGAUACAACUUAGAUGAGAGCCCUUCGGGGCCCCUCUGAACACAUAGAGAGGUUAAUAGGCCGUGUUUUUUAGUGCUUUUACCUUUUGGAAGCUUAUGCAUGCUGUAUGAUAAUAAAAGAGAUUCAAGAUACAGAUAAUAUAGAGGCCUUUGAGUCUGUCUGAGUGCGCAUAGAAGCUUUGAAUCAAAUACUUGGGUAUUUUUGUCCUUUAAGGACUAUUUUAUGUAUGCAGUAUGAUGAGAUAUGAUGAUAUAUAUGAGAUAUCACUUCAUUGAUCUAUCCUUUCAUACCAAAUUAAAAAUUGUUCGUGUUAUUGAUGAAAAUCAUGAUAACAUUAUUAGAGAGCUUUUUUUUUUUCUUUUUUCCCUUCCCCUUUUUCUGUUUUGUCCUUUUGUUUGAUUGGGCGUAAUGAAACAGAUAUAACAAGGGACCAAGCAUGACCUAUAUAUAUCUUCAACAAGCAAGGAAACAAGGGAUUGAAUUUGAUGUGUGAUGGUUAUCGAAGCCAGCAAAAAUAAAUACCUACUCUAAAUAAAUUGUGUAUAGUGAUUGAGUAGGGGUCGUGUCCACAGAGAUCGGUAAUUAUUUAAAUCCUUUUAAAAUGUAAAACGUAAAAUGGGGGAAUUGUUGACAAUAAUAAAAAUCAAAUUAAAAUAAUAAGAAUGCAAAUUAAAGUUGUAAUUCAAAUUGGAGAAAGCUCUAGUUGAAGGAAUUAACUCAACUUGAUUUGACUACUGAUCAUUGAUCCAAAUAUAAAUUAUUAUUACUUAUGAAUAGAUUGUAGUAUUACUGAUCAUUGAAGGAAUCACAAUUGUAUCGUUUCUGCAACAUCUUUCUCUCACAAGGUAAUAGAUUGUAGUAUUUCAUACCAAAUUAAAAUUUGUCCAUGUUAUCGAUGAAAAUCAUGAUAACAUUUUAGAGAGCUUUUUUUUUCUUUUUUCGCUUCCCCUUUUUUUGGUUGUUUCCUUUUGUUUGAUUGGGCGUAAUGAAACAGAUAUAACAAGGGACCAAGCAUGACCUAUAUAUAUAUCUUCAACAAGCAAGGAAACAAGGGAUUGAAUUUGAUGUGUCACAGCACAAUAAGUUAAAUCUUAAAUUUGGACAGACAAGACAAAUAUAGAAGCAUCUAAUCCACCAAAGGAGACUUGACAUAAAAAUAAAUACAGACACAAACAUAAACAUUUACUCCUCCAAUGAUUGUUUCAAUAUCUUUAUCCUUGAUAUUUGCUCACUUUUAUAAAAUAUAAAUCUGCUGGUAAAUUUUUUGUACCUUAAACAGUUUUCUGACUUAUGAGAAAAAAACUAUUUUAAAAAAAAUAUUACAGAGAAAAAUUAAAAAAAAACUGCUAAAGAGACAAAAUAAUGUCAGAAUGCUGACAAAAAUAAUGUUAAAAUUAACUCGUUUUAAUGUGUUGACAAUUGAGUAAUUAUUAUUAACUUAAGUUUGUUUAACUGCCAAUUGAGUGAUUAUUAGGCCGAAUUGAUAAAGAACUUUUAAUAAUAUAUGAAAUCUCUUUUUUCAUCAAUCAUGUCUCAAAAUGGUUGGCGAGUAAGCAAUGUUUGGCUUGUCCAACUGCAUUGUCGUGGCCUUGAUAUUUUAACCUAAUAAUGCAAUGAGGUGAUGAUCUCAUUUGCUUUAUCUAUAAGUUAUCCCGAUUUAAUUUAAAACAGAUGUUUCAUUCCCUGUUGUUUGAAUUUUACAAGUUUUUACUGUAUGUACAGCAGUUAUUACCCUUACAAAUUUAAUUGGCAGUUUAAUCGUUAAGCAUGAAUAAUGAUAUGAUCUAACAUACAACUUUAUGUUUAGAGUGAAGUACCCAUAUUUAAAGGUUCAAUAAUAUAUGAAAUCUUUUUUUUCCUUCAAUAAAAAUAUAUAUCUCCCACGUAUAAUCUUAAGUGAGACGAACGUAACGCGCGUCUGUAUGUCUCUAUCCAAUAAAAUUUUCUCCCAUAUACAUCCAAUUUGAAAUAAAUCAAUGGUGAUAGUGAUAUUAUUAUGAGAGUAAAAUUACGAAACACAUGACAUGAUUUUAUUAAAUAAUUGUACCUUUAAAUCUCUGUCUUGGUCAAAAAAUUUUUUAGUCACUUUCUUUUAUGUCAAUAAAAAUUAGCUUUUUUUUCUUUUUUCUCUUUAAAAGAAGAGAAUAACAAUGUUUUAAUGGAGAAUAACAAUGUUUUAGAUCAUUGUUUACAAUACAUGGAUAAACUGGGUAAUUAGUUAAAGACCUGUAAACCAAAAAUGGAUUUAUGUAUUCAUCUUAUCUCCACAUUAUAUGUUGAUGCUUUCAUUUCUACUUGUCCUUUAGUUUCUUCUCAGUGCAAAUGCCAGGAUAGGUGGAACAACAUUUCCAAUGUGCAUUGGUUCUGGCCAAAUUUUUCAUUUAAACAGUUGCACGAACCUUGAUCCAGUGUUGAUCACAAUCUUGUAAGAAGAUACGCACAAAUCUUAUAUCAGCACUAAAUCCAAAUCUCAAUAGCAGAUAUCAAAAUAGCAAUAAGACUUACUCGAGAUCAAUCGUACAUUCACAAACUUUCACCGAUUGUAUCUCUCACUGUUAUUGCACGGAAAUGAGCGCCAUUUGGUAACUUGGCAUUAAGCUCAGGACCGGCAAAGACGUGCAUUGGUUCUGGCCAUUCCGGCAUUGUUUCCUCAGGUGAAGCUGCCCAUAUGAAUGAUUGUUUACGACAUGGAAACACAUCGUGUGCUGCUGCUUCCAAUGCAUCAGACCUCACCUAUAAUAACAACAAUAAAUAGAUGAAUAAUCUAAUCGGAGGUGAUUGUACAUAUACCGACAAUAGGGUUUAUUUUAACUAUGACACAAUUGCACAACUAAUUCCCAUAUUAAGGCUCAAUUUAGGACUGGUUCGGCAAUUAAAAAGUGUUUCGUAAGGACUUUCAAUUAUGAUUUGGAAGUUAAAGAUAAUUUUACUCAACAAUUGUUUGAUGAAAUUGUAUUAGAUCUUGGCCAGGACUUGACCGAGUGUUUUCGAUCAGCUUUCUUUGGCUAGUCACUCAAGUUUAAGCCCUGUAAGUGGUAUGAACCUAAGAAAUUGAUUCAGGCUUUUUGCACCACCCCACAACUUACUAUUUUUGCAAAUAUAUUUACUUUAAAAAUCAGGGCAUCUUGAUAGGCACCCCUCCAUGUUAAGUUAAAUGAAUAUCGGUGGGUGAGGUUUACAAUAAUAGACAGCAAUAACAUACCACAACUUCUUUAUGGACAUGCAAUCCAUCGGUCGUAGCAGAACUAGCUGACAGCGCCUACGGGGCACGUGCAAUUAUAUUUUGAUCAUGAUCAUCAUCUUCUUCUUGGUCUUCGCCUUCCGAUGUUCCUAUUUCUGAUGUUUCUCCACAUUUUCUUCCUCUUUUAACAACUUUCGUUGAAGAUUUUGACAGAAAUAUCAUUGUGAGAAGAGUAUUUCUAAAGUUUACAACUUGGAAAUGAGACCUUAUGUGAUAUGUACAUGAAGGAUAGAGUACAUGUCAGUAUUUAUAAGAAACAAUGUGAUGGUUUUAAAGAGGCUAGUGGUGGUUUUAAAGAAACUAAAUAAAGUUUAUUAUUUAAUAAAAAGCAAAAUACAAAUCUCGAAGAAUCCACUGUAUAAUCUGACAGGAUCUGGAAAACGGAUGCAUGACAAUAUCAUUACUUUGUAAGACUGGAUUAUUAUUAUAAAUUUUUAUCCAAAGAAAUUAAAUAAAGUUUAUUAUUUAAUAAAAAGUCAAAUACAAAUUCCGAAGAAUCCGCUGUAUAAUCUGACAAAAUCUGAAAAACGGAGGCACAUGUAUGGCAAUAUCAUUACUUUGUACGACUGGAUUAUUUUUAUAAUUUUUAUCCAAAGAAACUAAAUAAAGUUUAUUAUUUAAUAAAAAGUCAAAUACAAAUCUCGAAGAAUCCGUUGUAUAAUCUGACAAAAUCUGGAAAAUAGAGGCACAUUUAUGGCAAUAUCAUUAUUUUGUAUGACUGGAUUAUUUUUACAAAGUUUUAUCCAAUCCCUUGUUUAAUGCCAGUAAAUCAAUAUUUAAAUAUAUAGUUAUUUUAUUAUGUUAUUUGAUUUUAACUAUUAAUGUCAAUAUUGGAAUAUAUCUUUAUAUUGAACUAAUAAAACAACUGUAUAAAGACAUUUGAAUAAACUUAAUUACGAAUUUUGAAUUCAUGAUGUAAGAUAGCGUUUGCUUUUUAAUCUGAAAUUUGAGUGGGGUCUAAAUUUGGCUGAAAUAUGAAUAUCUUUAAACUGAAUAUGAUUAAAUGACAUGUUUAUUUUCUCUUUUUCAAUAUCCAAAUAUAAGUGGCAUCUUUUUUUUUUUUUAUAAAUCAAAAACAUCCAAAGUAUGAUUAUUUAACAUUUAUGUUUUUGUAAGAAUUAUUUAUACUUAUUAUCAAUUUUAAGAGUUAAAUACGUGCACAUUACAAUUAAAAUCAAACAUACGUAGAGUUGAGUAAUUGAUCUUUAAAUAAAAAUAUUAUUACAUUACUCCAAAUACAAAAUUGAUUCAAACUUAUUAUACUAAUUAAAAUGUGAAUAAAUUUAAAUUUAAAUUUAUAAUUUACAUCAUCUUUUUACCAUUUAAAAUUGUAAAAGUCCAUUCGCCCAAACCUAGUCUUAAUUAGCUGUACAUAAGUGUAAAGACCCAUAUGUUCUUAAAAAGUGUUAAGUUUUCAUAGACCCAUAAGUGAAUGGAGAAGUGUAAUGCCCCAAAUUCAAGCCAGAGUUAUAACUGUUGGCAGAUCUGUAUAAUCCUUUUAAAACAGUUCUCUAAUUAUAUUAAAAGACAAAAUAAAUCUAAUUAAAUUCUUAUAUUUCUCUCUCUCUCUCUCUCUUUCUCUAUAAGUUUCUUUUUCUACUUCAUUACUCCCACACAACUACACCAAAGUCUUUUAUAUUUUUUUUAUUUUCUCUCAAACACUUUGUAUAUUACAUAAUAACUAUUUAAGUCCAUUUUUAGUUCUACUCAAUUCAAGUAUAUAGAAUUUUCUUUUUAAUUAAAUAUAUAUGAUUUAAACUUUCAAAAUUUUGUAAAAACAAUGUCCCUAAUAUGAGGUUUGUGGAAGAAGUUAAAUAUUUUUUUAAUAAAAAAGAAACUGAAAUUUUAAAACAGAGAUUUUGAAAACUUAAAAUAGGUUUUGAGGGGGGGGGCUUGAGAAAAAAAAUUAUAAGGUGCUAUUAGUUCCACUCUUCAAGCAAAGAUACACAGACCUUUACUCUUCCAAAUAAAUUUUGCGGUGAAUUUUAUUGUUGGCUAAUGUACAGCAGUAAAAAAAAUAUAAGGUGCUAUUAGUUCCACUCUUCAAGCAAAGAUACACAGACUGCGAGGCUUCGAUGUGCGAUAAAUAUAAGGUGCUAUUAGUUCCCUCAUUACAAUGUUGAACAAUCAGAGUCGAGCAUCUCGACUCUCGUUUUGCAGAUGUAAUAAAAAAAGUGUCCAAGUUCAGUAAGACUAAUCCCACAGAAGUUGAAAGGUAUGUGGUGGUUCAUGGACAUAUCACACUCCAACAAUUUGCAGAGCUUCCUAAUAAAAGGAUCAGCAAGUGGGCAUUUGUGUCUGGUCUUUUUGGAAAAAUGGAGGAAAGACGCCACACCAGGUCUUUGGUGAAAAAAAAGGUGGUGCUGAAGAAGGAAAUAAAUUCAAAUCUGAGAGCAUAAAAAAAAAGAAGAUUCAAAGGAGGCAUAUAUCCGUGAAGUGAAAGUGGAUGAAGAACUCGAUGAAGAACAUGGAGAAAAUAGUGAGGAAGAUCCUGAAGACAUUAAAGUGGAACAGAUGCAAGUUGAUUUAUAGUUAACUGUUUUAUAAUUUCAAACAAAGAAGUAGAUGAUACUGACGUUGAAUUUUGCGGUGAAUUUUAUUGUUGGCUAAUCACGUUGAUAUGAGUGUGAAUAUAAAAAGGAUAAAACUUAUAAUAAAGAAUUAUAUGAACUAUAUUUUAAAGAGAAAAUAUAUUUUUAAAACUAUGAAAAUUUUCUUACAAAUAUGAGCUAGGGAGGUAAAUUGAAGAGGUUACAUAUCAUCAAUCUAGUUACUUCAGAAAAUGUGGCCCAAUGUCUUCAGAUGGGUUACUGUUGGUGUGUUACUAAGAAAUAGGCCGAAGUUGUAAAAAUAAAAAAUAAAAACAGUAGGUUUUCAUAUUAACAAAGAACAGUUAUUUCACAGAACCCAUGAAUAUCUCUGUGAUGUUGAUGCUUUCAUUUCUACAGCUUCCUUUAGUUUUCUCCCCAUUGCUUAGAGGUGGUUCAACUUGUAAACAACACCAAGGGCAGCAAAACAGAAAUUUUUUGGACAAUUCUGGAGAUCCGAAAUCAGUUGAAAGGUUUUCAAAAAGUUGUUGUUCAUCACAUUCCAAGACAAUGUAAUGCUUAUGCCCACUCCCUAGCUAAGUUAGCUUUGGAAAGAAAUUCUUCUUCUAUGUGGCUAGGAACUAUUCCAGCUGAGAUUCAAGUUGUAUUUGAGGUGUUGUGAUUUAUGAAAGGUUUACUUUCUUUUCAAAAAAAAAAGAAAAAAGAAAAUACUGCUGUACGGCCAAGGCGGAUGUACGGUACAGCAGAAAACAGUAGGUUUUCAUAUUAACAAAGAACAGUUAUUUCACAGAACCCAUGAAUAUCUCUGUGAUGUUGAUGCUUUCAUUUCUACAGCUUCCUUUAGUUUUCUCCCCAGUGCAAACGCCAGAGGAGGUGGAACAGCAUUUCCAAUCUGCCGAUGCUUGUGUUGGAUGUCACCAACAAAUUUAUAGCUAUCGGAGAAACCCUGCGGGAAUCAAGAGAGCAGGGUAACAUGACAGCAGAAACAGUUGGCAAAAUUUAUCUUGUUUGAUUAAAAAAUUAGCUUGUCAAGUUAAAAGUGUCACCGGUGCUGCAUGAAAAUUAUUUUUGGUUAUUCUGGUUUUUCAUCAUUCCAACUAACUGCAGGAUAUUUACAUAUAUAGCCAAAAGGACUUACUUGUGAUCGAGCACACUCACGAACUGUGAUUAUUCUAUCCUGAUCUGGGUGAAAACACGUUCCGACCAUACCCAUCGGAUGAGGAUCAGUAACGGAGGUUGGAAAGUUUCCUUCCCGGUCCAACCUUCCGAACAGACCCUUCCAUUGAUUAUGCUUUUCAGCUGUAUUGGGUAAGCACCAGGGAGUCACGACAUGUCAUAUGUUGAGUCUGUAGUAGCACGACAUGUCAUCUGAUAAGCAUUUGGAACAAAACCGACAUGAGCCAAAAUGUCGUUCUUUGUUUAAGUAGCUCACGUGUUUGGCAUGUGAGCUGAACAAGACUCUUACUCUCAGAAACGACUGAACCAGAAGCCGUUUUGAGCAUGCUUAUUCAAGACACGUUGCAAGCACGUGACUGAGGCUGAAUCUGUUAUGUUAGCGGGAAAAGCCGCUGAGGAAGGCAUCUAGAAUCAGUUAAUAAAGAGCUGGAGUUCUGGGUUUUUCACAACGGGCCAGAAAACAGAGAGAGAGCAAGGAAGAGGGAAUGCGAGAGAGAGAGUUCUGAAUAGGCUUGUAAUCUCCAUUUGUGUUUGCUCUCUGUAAACUCUUGAACAAAGCAAUAAAGUGAAAUCACAGAGUUUGUUUCCAGUGGAUGUAGGCAUCAUUCAUUUGGUGCUGAACCACUUUAAUUCGUGUGUGUUUUGUUCUUGAUCUAUUUGUUAUUCUUGAUUCUUAGUAGGUUGACUUCUUCUUGGUUGAAUCUUGAGUAUAAACCAGUGAGUGAAGUGUUCUUGGGGUGGGUUUAGUCUUGAUAGUUAGGGCUUAAAACACAACAGUAUCUCUAUUGCACGAAAAGGAGCACCAUUUGCGGUGCUUCGAACAGCAGCAUAAUGGGAAUUUCUAGCUAACUUGACCUUUAGCUCAGGGCCAGUGAACACAUGCAUUGGCUCAGGCCAUUCUGGAAGGGUUUCCUCAGGUGAUGCUUCCCAUAUGAAUGCACGUUUACGAGACUGAGACAUGCCAUAUGCUUCUGCUUGCAGGACACCAAAUCUCACCUACAACAACAAAUUAAAUGAAUAAUUUAUAUAAGCUGCAUGAUACUUUCACAAUUUUCCGAUUAAAUUGACUAAUUAAAUGGAGAAACAAAUUCAGGGAAUUUUGAUAGGUACCCCUCUAUAAAGUUAUGAGUGAGUAAAUAAAAAAUGGUAUCUACCUGAUAACCCAUCUGGAGGAGAGAAGCCAUAGUUAAGCGAAAUGUUUGCCCUUUGUUAAAUGAUGUAAAGUUCCUUACAUUCUCCAGAAGGAAAAAUCUGGGGCGGAAAUAAUCAGCAAAAGACAACGAUGCUAAGAUCAUUUCACAUUGAACUUUGCUCCAAGAGCCUUGAUUAAACCUAUUCAUUCCAGAAAAUCCCUGGAAAUAACAAAGAACCAAUAGCUAAACUUUAUAGGUCUAUUGUACACAAUUACUGUUAGAAUUGCUUACAAAAUAAAUCCUAGAAGUAGGCUGGAGGAUUGAUCGAUGUACCUGACAAGGAGGCCCUCCACUGAUGAAAUCCACUUGUCCUGGCCGAGGCAAAUUCUUAAUUGUCACUUCAUCAAGUUCUGCUGCUAGCUCAGCAGCUUCAGGAGUUGAAAUACAGUCAUCAGUAUCCCCACAUGCUGACAUGAUAGCCCUGCAUUUGAUUCAUUGAUUUAUUGAAGAUAUAAGAGUUGAUUUCAAAGCAAUUAUCACCGAAUCGAACACAAAGCCAUGAGUUAUUAUACUUAAAUGAAAGCAAACAUCAACCUCAGGAUCACAUUGCAGUUGUUAAUAAACACCAAAGCUUCUGGAUGAUUAACCUUGAAUGUUUCUCUUGCUGGUUGCUCAUACUCUAUUGCCCAGUUGGUUAUCGACAGUUCGACACACCUUUAGUUGCAUAUUUGUCAGUCACAAUAGACCUAAAUCGGUUUACUUGCUCACGGAACUUUGAAAGUUACCUGCUUGCUGUAGGCCAUCAGAUAAGCCACCACAACCUGCGAAAAUAUCUAUGGUGGCUAAGCGAUUCUUAUUCACAGCAUCCGUCUGUUUGUCAACAGCACCAUCAUGCUUUUCCUCUUUACAUUUCCCAUUUAUCUUUCUAUAAGCAGUAUCAUCAGACACCCUCUCUUUUAGCACACUAGUCUUGAUGUGAGGCGGCAACUGGCCAUUAUGCAGUCAUUACAGUGGGCAUAAGAAGAAACCACAGUUUAAUAAACAUAAUUCACAUGAAUCUAGUUAAGGAAACCAUGCUUCUUUCUAAUGUCACAUUUGCCUUCUAUUCCAGUAACAGGAACUGUCAAUACUAGUUUACUGUAAUAAGCCUAAAGAGUCAAUAGCAAAGAAACUGUGUAUAAGAUCCACAAUAACAUAAUAACGCCAAAAAGUCAAAUAGAAACUUUGUAUCUUAUCUUUGUAUAACAUAAGAUCCACUUUCACUUCACGGAUAUAUGCCUCCUUUGAAUCUUCAGGCAAAUAAUUUGAGUAAAACUCUUCCCAAAUUCUCUUUAUCAAUCUCGUGGUUGUUGCUUGCAUUACCUUGUUUUUUGAUGCUCUCAGAUUUGAAUUUAUUUCCUUCUUCAGCACCACAUUUUCUUCACCAAAGACCUGGUGUGGUGUCUUUCCUCCAUUUUUUCAAAAAGACCAGACACAAAUGCACACUUGCUGAUCCUUUUAUUAGGAAGCUCUGCAAAUUGUUGGAGUAUGAUAUGUCCAUGAACCACCACAUACCUUUCAACUUCUGUGGGAUUGGAAGAAAUAUAAGCAGGAUUAGUCUUACUGAACUUGGACACUUUUUUUAUUACAUCUGCAAAACGAGAGUCGAGAUGCUCGACUCUGAUUGUUCAACAUUGUAAUGAGGGCAAUAGCAAGCCUCGCAGAUUUUAGAACUGGUUUGUACCACGCUGCAUACUGCUUUGAUGGCCUUCCAAGCCUAUACCUGAAAACAAAUUCGCAAAUUUGAUAAGAACUAACACUGACAGAAGAUAAAGAGGACAAAAAGGCAAGCUUAAUGUUGCGGACCGCCCAAUUCGCUAGCCCAAUUUGCUCACCAAGAGCCCAACACAAGGCCAAGAGUGCUAGCUUGGCCCGAUUCCGGAAAGUUCUAGGCAACUCUAGCACAUUAAGCUUGUAAAUACUCUAGAAUUCUCUAUACAAUUCCAGCACAUGUAAAUAGCUAGGAAGUGGUAGAAUUCUCUAGAAUCUCUAGAGCUUGGCAAGCCUCCCCUGUAAAUAUGGGAUGGCAUUAAGCAUUUGAACACAACAACAAGCUUAGAGCAAGCAUUCUUGUAAUCUCUCCUUUGUGCAAUACAAUUUCUCUUAUUUGGCUCCAUUGCUCUCUUCUCUAGUUCGAGAAGCUCAAGGCUUACUUAGCAACAUUCGGCAAAGUUGUCUAAGUGCCGCACGGGUUAGCUGCACAAAACACUCAUCCCGUGACAAGUGGUAUCAGAGCUAAGGUUUGCACACGCAAGUUAGCUCACGGGCAAUGGCCAACCCUUCGAACGUAGCACAAGAGGGUGUUGUUGGUGUGGAUAUUCCACCGGAACCAAGCCGCAGCUGUGAGGGAGAGCGCGCCCAAGGCAAGAUUCGCGGCAAGUCCAAGGCCCCAUCCAUGGAUGCGUUGGAGCCUCGUGUGACUACUCUCGAAAUUGCAUUAUCCGCCGCUUAAGACAGCCUCGAGGGAUUAAAGGAACGAGUGGACGGUCUCGAGGGAAAAUAUGCCGAGUUCACGAUGGCAACCAAGGCCCUCAUUCAAGAACAAGCAAAUACUCUUCGAGGUGAGUUUCGUUUCUUUCAUGAUGAGUUGCUCAAACUUCGUAGCUUUGUUCAGGAUGAACUACGCAGUGUCCGUGCGGAAGUAGAUGAAGUCCGCUCGGAUUGGGCAUGGCACAAGCGCACACUCUCCGUUAGUCCAGCUUCCACAAGCACAAGUGAUGCGCGCAGCAUUGACGUGCCAAAGCCCGACACAUACGAUGGCACACGCAAUGCCACCAUCGUGGACAACUUCCUAUUUCGGCUUGAUCAAUACUUUGAUGCCAUGGGUGUACGAGAUGAGGCAUCGAAAGUGGGCACUGCACCCACCUAUCUUAGAGGCGCUGCCCAACUAUGGUGGUGUGGCAAGUAUGGUGAGAUGGGCAAGGGCAUUUGCACCAUCGACACUUGGGCCGACUUCAAACAAGAACUCCGAAAGCAGUUCACCCCAAGCAAUGCGGAGAAGGAAGCGCGAGCGCGCUUACGUCGCCUCAAGCAGUCGGGUAGCAUUCGGGACUACAUCAACAAGUUCACUACCCUUAUGUUGGAGAUAAGCGACAUGUUCGACAAGGAUUCGCUCUUCUACUUCCAAGAUGGUCUCAAGAAUUGGGCCAAGACCGAGCUUGAUAGGCGUGGUGUUCACCGAUGCCAUCGCCGUUGUAGAGUCGCUCACCGAAUACUCUAUCCAAUCCAAGGACAAAAAGGCCAACCAAGGCAAAGGUGGGGGAGAAAGUCGCAAGGACAAAGACAACAACCGCAAAAAUAGGGGGCAGAAAAAGCCGCCUAGCAGCAAGAGCGGGCAAGGAAAAUCGGAGGGCAAGAAGGAGGCGCCAAAGCCGCGAAGCCCAUGCUUCAUAUGCAAUGGUCCUCAUUGGGUACGCGAUUGUCCGGAGAAGAAGUCGCUCAACGCUUUUGCUGCUCAACUCAAGAGCAACCCCACAUUGUCCACGGAGGAACCCCAACUCAGCAUGGAUUCUCUCCAACGCCUAGGCGCACUCAAUAUCCAACAGCCCGUCCUCGUCAAGAAAGGGCUCAUGUAUGUCAGCGCAAAGAUAAAUGGUCAGUCCGUUCGCCCGUUGCUAGACACGGGAACAACGUACAAUUUCGUGUCCGUAGACGAGGCCAAGCGCUUAGGCCUCAAGGCCACCAAGGAAGGAGGCACAAUGAAGGCUGUGAACUCACCCGCCAAGCCAAUUGCGGGAUACUUCCAAGAUGGCCUCAAGGAUUGGGCCAAGACCGAGCUUGAUAGGCGUGGUGUUCAAACACUUGACGACGCCAUUGCCGUUGCGGAGUCGCUCACCGAAUACUCUACCCAAUCCAAGGACAAAAAGGCCAACCAAGGCAAAGGUGGGGGAGAAAGUCGCAAGGACAAAGACAACAACCGCAAAAAUAGGGGGCAGAAAAAGCCGCCUAGCAGCAAGAGCGGGCAAGGAAAAUCGGAGGGCAAGAAGGAGGCGCCAAAGCCGCGAAGCCCAUGCUUCAUAUGCAAUGGUCCUCAUUGGGUACGCGAUUGUCCGGAGAAGAAGUCGCUCAACGCUUUUGCUGCUCAACUCAAGAGCAACCCCACAUUGUCCACGGAGGAACCCCAACUCAGCAUGGAUUCUCUCCAACGCCUAGGCGCACUCAAUAUCCAACAGCCCGUCCUCGUCAAGAAAGGGCUCAUGUAUGUCAGCGCAAAGAUAAAUGGUCAGUCCGUUCGCCCGUUGCUAGACACGGGAACAACGUACAAUUUCGUGUCCGUAGACGAGGCCAAGCGCUUAUGCCUCAAGACCACCAAGAAAGGAGGCACGAUUAAGGCUGUGAACUCACCCGCCAAGCCAAUUGCGGGGUUUGCACAAGGCGUGCACAUCACGCUCGGUACGUGGAGCGGAAAGCUUAACUUCUCCAAUGUGCCCAUGGACGACUUCAAGAUGGUCCUCGGCAUGGAAUUCUUCGACCAAGUCCAUGCCUUCCCGCUGCCCGCUACAAACUCCCUGAUCAUCCUCGACGGGAGUAAAGCAUGCAUGGUACCCACGGAGCGAGGCAAGUCCGAAGAGAAGACACUCUCCGCCAUGCAAUUCAAAAGGGCUUUCAAGAAGGACCCAAGCUUCUUGGUCUCCAUCCAGGAACUAAACGAGGAAGGAGAUUGUGGAAACAAGCCAAGCCAAGUCCCUCCGCAAAUGCAAAAAGUCCUCAACGAGUACAAGGACGUGAUGCCUCCAGAACUUCUGAAGAAGCUCCCACCUCGACGAGAGGUAGAUCAUGCAAUCGACCUGGAACAAGGCGCGAAGCCACCAGCCUUGGUGCCCUACCACAUGGCGCCACUCGAACUAGAGGAGUUGCGGAGAAAAGUCAAAGACUUGCUGGACGCAGGCUACAUUCGCCCCUCAAAGGCCCCAUUCGGCGCACCGGUCCUCUUCCAAAAGAAAAAGGAUGGAUCGCUGCGGAUGUGCAUCGACUAUAGGGCGCUCAACAAGAUCACCAUCAAGAACAAGUAUCUGAUUCCCUUGAUCGCGGACCGCCCAAUUCGCUAGCCCAAUUUGCUCACCAAGAGCCCAACACAAGGCCAAGAGUGCUAGCUUGGCCCGAUUCUGGAAAGUUCUAGGCAACUCUAGCACAUUAAGCUUGUAAAUACUCUAGAAUUUUCUAUACAAUUCCAGCACAUGUAAAUAGCUAGGAAGUGGUAGAAUUCUCUAGAAUCUCUAGAGCUUGGCAAGCCUCCCCUAUAAAUAUGAGAUGGCAUUAAGCAUUUGAACACAACAACAAGCUUAGAGCAAGCAACUCAAGCAUUCUUGUAAUCUCUCCUUUGUGCAAUACAAUUUCUCUUAUUUAGCUCCAUUGCUCUCUUCUCUAGUUCGAGAAGCUCAAGGCUUACUUAGCAACAUUCGGCAAAGUUGUCUGAGUGCCGCACAAGUUAGCUACGUAAAACACUCAUCCCGUCACAUUAAGCACUAGUACCACCACCAAACCUCUUGGUAGUAUAUGGAUAUUGAUGCAUACUAGGAAAUAUUUGUCCGAACUAAUAUGGAAACGAACGAGUAUCCAAAUUCGAUCAUCCAUUCCUGUAUUGCACUCAAGUAUACUGGUAUUCCCCCAACAUUCUCUGCUAUAAAUGAAGACUGAUCAAAAUUAGCAUCAACACAUAAUCCACUUGAAUCACUAGUUGUCAUAAUCCCGGACCCAAAGAUGGUAAUAUCAUUAUCAUCACAUGGUUUCAUUGGGAGGAGCUCCAAAGAAAUCAAUCGCGAAUCUGAGUUGUGAAGUGACCAAUUGUGAAGCAUUCUUCGAGGAAGCUCGUCAGGAUUAAUUGUAUCAAAGAUUAAAUAUUCAUCAUUUUCCUCCUCACUGGGCUUGUAAUAUGCAGGCAGAGGAUAGUCAUCAACAAUUUCAUCCUCAUUGAUUUUACUGCAGAACUUACUUGAUUAAGCAACUCUCCUCUGAGUUUUAUUAUGUUUCGUUGGUUGCCAAUUCUCCUCUUCCUGCAACAACCUUGCCAAUUUCAUAUCUUUGUCUUCUUCACCUCCAGAAGCAGAUGAACUAGAUUGAUUGUUUUGCACUUCUUCACCAAUUCUCAUACCUGUAUUUAUGAGACUGCUGGAUGCACUGGUUUCCAGAGUAAUUAAACUCCCUUGCUUCUUAGUUUCAUCUAGCAGUGCAAGGAGCACAGGCAAGUUCUCAAAGAUCUGAUCAUUUUUCUUGGAUGUCUCAUCUAAACCGAUGAGUUGAUUAUAUAUGAAUUCACCAUGUGAGAUUAUAAAUUCCUUCAUAGAUGUCUUGUGAGGAAAAUUCUUACUAUCACUCAUGGAACGAACAACUCCUGCAAGCAAUUCAUCGACAGUCUGAUUAGGGUUCCCUCCACAAGUCCUUGAAAGUUUUUUAUAGACCUCCACAGAGGCACGAGCCUUUUCAUGGAAAAGGUUAUAUAGCAUUUUAUAACUAUUAGCAGGUUUAACACAAUUAUAGUCUGCAUUGACAGUUGAAAUCCAAAAUACCGGUGAGCCUUCCUCAUAUCCAGAUAUUGCCCAAGAUUCAACUCGUCUGAAAUCUUCACAUCUAACACCUCUUUUGUAACACCCCAAAACUAACACGUGCAGAGCACGUGAAGAAGGAGGUUACUUAUAAAUCAUAAUCCUUACUCAUAAAUUCCAAACUGAAAUACCUCAAAUUCUUAUUCAUUUAUAUCCACAAAUUCAAACGUCCAACACUAAAUAAUCUCUCGCAAAACAUAACAAUAACAAAAGUCUCAAACUCUAAAUUACAAGUUCAUAACCGAAAUAAAUUGAAUAGAAACAUGAGUCUAUUCCUCUUCUUAUUCAAAUGGCAAAUGGAAAUGAAAAUUACUAACUCCAAAGCUAAGCGCACCUCUCAAAAGAAACUUAAUCUGCAAAAAGUAAUGACGAGGGGUGAGCCGUCAACUCGGUAAGUAAAACCAUUCCUAACACACUAGGCCUAUCGAUUCUAAAAAUAUUGCAAGCCUUCUUUUGUUUAAAACAUAUAUCAUAAUCCAUAAAUUUCAUAAAACGAUAUGUCACGAUAACAUAACAUAAAUUCUUAAUAAUUCAAAAAAUUCAAAAGCAUAUUUACUUGCGAAGCAAAUCAUAUAAUACGUAUACAGAAAACAAAAGGUUAGCUCAUGUCACAUAGUGUCACCUAUAGUCCCGGUGACCCGGCCAAAAACAGAAUCAGAAUAUCGUGUGCACAUUCAGAAUAUAGUCCCGGUGACCCGGCCAAAUUCACAGAAAACAAAAGGUUAGCUCAUGUCACAUAGUGUCACCUAUAGUCCCGGUGACCUGGCCAGAAACAGAAUCAGAAUCAGAAUAUCAUAUGCACACUCAGAACAGAAACCCAGUACUGGUCCAGACAGAUAUAUCGUAUAUUACGAUCAAAAUCAAAAUCAGAAUCAAAAUCAGAAUAACUAUAGACAAUGAGCCAAAUCAUUAGGAAUCCUAGUCCCGGUGACCUGGCCAGAAACAGAAUCAGAAUCAGAAUAUCAUAUGCACACUCAGAACAGAAACCCAGUACUGGUCCAGAACAGACAUAUAUCGUAUUAUACGAUCAGAAUCAGAAUCAGAAUAACUACAGACAAUGAGCCAAAACAUAAUGAUUUAUACGUGGCACUUUGCACUAUAUGUAGCACUUUGUGACGCUUUGACCUUCAAGAAGUGGCCCCCAUAUAGUCCCAAGAGGUGGCCCCCGUAUAAUCAUAAAGAAUUGAAAACAUUCAUAAGCACAAAAACAUUCGUAUCAGUUUCAUAAAUGUCCAUAACAACAAUUUAGGCUUGCAAAAUAUUUUAUAAAUAAAAUCAUAAAAGUAGGCAUGUAACAAAAUAACUUACAUAUUUAAAAAGCAUUUAUAAAAGACUUUGUACAAAAGAAUUUAGGUUUGAAAACAUUUUCAUAAAACUAAUUUUGUUAUGAAAAUCCGUUAAUUUUCUAAGUAGUAUAAAAACAUUUAUACUUAUAAUAAUAAUAUCAAAAUACUUAUACAUAUCCAGUAUACUAGGAAUGAAGUUGCUUACCUCGAACUAAAGAAUUUGAAUUAACACGCCUCUAAGCCUCUAAGAGCCUCAAUCACCUCCAACACCAAUUGCUUUGAUUCUCUUCUAAAUAAAGGCUUGAAUCCUAGGGUUUGGGUAAGAGUGUAAUGAGCAGUAGGGAAGAAAAUAAACGUCGUGGAUUUAGGGUUAUGGAAGGGGAAAAAUAUGAAUUUAUAGGAAGUCUUAAGUAACCCUAUUGAAUUUGGAAAAAUAAUCAUUUUCCAAAAUUAUCUCAUAAUUAACCCUUAUUUAUAAUUUAAUAUCCCUUUCUAAUAAGGGUUAUAGGCCACAGAUGAUUCUAAUGAAAGCCCAAUUUCCAUAAUUUAAUGUUAUGGAAAUUUGUGGCGUUACAUCUUUCCUUCUGUCUUCCACAACAUUUUUCAAGAGGCAAUAUAAGACCUAAAACGAACAAGUUUCCAACUUCCAACAUUUCAACAGACUUUAGGUUUCCACAAGCAUCAUGAAAGGCAAAUUCUGUUAGCCUUCGAUUUGUUCUAAAAUCAUCCUUUCCAGCGGUCAAGCUUUUUGCAACCUCUUCAUUUUCUGCAACAACUUCCCUUGUGCUUUCCACAAAAGAUGCACUUCGAGAGAAGGAAAGAGAUUUAUCCAUGAUAUUUAUACAUGCAGCAGUUCUCUUUGGCAUUUUCCAAGAAUUGGAUGCUUUUUCACUAUUUUCAUGUCUACUUCUCUUUUAUUUUCUGGUCGUCUCAGACUUCUCGUCUAUUGUAUUAACUUCAAUGGCAGAAGAUUGCUUUCCCUUAGCUAUUUUUUCCACAUCUAGAAAUAAGUAUCCAAUUAAAAACAGGAAUAAAAGCAAAUACUAUUAAACUCCAUGGUUACUUUGGUAUAUGAAGAAAUAAAACGACCAAAAAAGAACUCUAAUAGAAUAAAUAAGGAAACGAUCGAGUUUGGGAGUUAUAAUUAAUCAUCUAUUUUCUUUUUAUGUGGAUGAUAAAAUGGAAAAGGUAAGCUCACUCAAGUCAAUAAAGACUAAAGCAUAGGGUAACAACAUUCAGAAUCUACAAUAAGGUACUGACAUUCAGAAUCUAUUUUCACAAAUAAAAAGAAAUUUAAACAAUCAGAAAAGUGAGCAACUUAAGGACGACAUUGGUUACAUAUGCCAAAUGUGGUAGUCUGGGCAUUCAAAAUUAAUAAAGCAAUCUUUAAAUUAAUGCAUGUCUAGAACACUAUGAAGCAAGCUGCUGAGGAUUCAUCGUGCUAUAUACAGAAUGUCCUUAAUGGUGUUAUUAUUGUUGAGUAAUAGAAAGUACCAGCUUAGCCAUGCCCUCAUCUCUCAUCCUGAGGUGAACCUCCUCAGCUGAAUGACACGAGAAGAGUCCUGGUAAAACUUCUUAUCCUGGCAUGUGCCAACUAGAGACGAGCACCGACCAGAGAAAUAUACCGACCAGAGAUAUACACCGGCCAGAUGAUCGUCAUCUAAAAAAAGAGCACACGAUUUCACGUAAUCGCGACAGUUUCGUUAUGCCCCGAACCGUCAGGAAAGACAUGGCAUCCCACGUUUACCCACAAUCCAAGAGUUGGAGACCCAUGGGGGUCUGCCAUCACCCGAAAAAAGGAGGGCAUGAAGGAUACACAGAAACGUGGGGCCACACUACGUUUCAGAAAGUCAUAAUUUUAGAAAGUUGUGGGAUUGACAAAGUAUUAUUCUAAAAUUAUGAAAUUGGACCUUUUUGCAAACUUUCAUAACGUUUUGGGCCACACUACAGUUUUAUAAAGUUUUGGGGUCAAACUAUAAAUUUAGGAAAAUGUUCACUGUAGCAGUUACUGUAGCAAGCGGAAAUCCGGAUUCUGACAAACGAAAGUCUGGAUUUUGGGCAGAAUCUAUCCGAAUUAAAAGCGGAAAUCCAGAUCCUGACAAAAGGAAAUCCGGUUGUUGGGCAGUAAGCUAUUGAGCGUAAGCGGAAAUCUAGAUGUGACAAAGCGGAAAUCUGGAUGUUCAGAAAUUCAAAUUUGUGGCUGUAACGGUAACAUUAAGCGGAAUUCCGGAUGUCCAUAACCGGUAAUCCAGUUACGACAAAAAAUGUGCAUAACGGCUAGUUUUUGAGUUUAAACUAUAUAAACUCAAAACCAAUUCAUUUUUGGUAAUCCAAGCAAGCAAGAACAAGUGCACACAACAUAUAUUGAGCUUCAAUUUCGUAACUCAUCAUUUAUUAGGGUGAAGAGAUUGGAGAUAUAAUCUCUUGUUGUAAAGGUUCAUUGACACCUUGAAGUCAAUUGUAAUCGUUUGAAGCCUUGGAAAGGCUUGGAUAGUGAAAUCCUCAAGCCCGGUGUGCUUGGAAGCGUGGACGUAGGAGGGGAUUGCCGAACCACGUAAAAAUCCUUGAGUUUGCUUUCUCUUCCCUUGCUCUUUAAUUAUUGUGCUUUGAUUGAACUUAUUGCUUUCAAUUUUUAUUAAGACAUUAGAUUGCUUUUUGUGUGGAUUUGCUAGGAUAAUUUUUAAAAUUCCAAUUAACCCCCCCUCUUGGGUUGCACACUUAUAUUUCACAGGUGAUGGAUGAGAUCUAGGGUAAGAGAAAGCCUCUAACCUGGAGGAUAAUGCUGGAUGAAGAAUCUCUGCUAUCAGCCGAGAUCAUGGGUACCGUUAUCCCAAGAGAUUUCCACUUUCCCGACCUCAAGUACUCCGGGAGAAGCGACUCGCUAGUGUACAUUGAGCGCUUCAAUGACAUGACGGGCGUACAGGGGCUAACACCAGCUCAGAGGUGUAGGGUGUUCCCCUUGACACUAGAGUGAUGAGCCCGAGAAUGGUAUCGUAAGCUGCCACGAGUAAGUAUAAGGGGAUACGAGCAGAUGUGCCAAGAGUUAGCCGAGCAGUUCCGAGGAGCGGUAGCCCCAGAGGACGAUAUGAUGGAAUUGAUGGGGAUGAAGCAGGAGGAACACGAAUCCCUUCGGGAUUUUGUGAAAAGAUAUCAUCGGGCCGUGCUUGAUCUGGGAGCUUUCAAUCACCCCCAGGCUUUAAGAUGAUUAAAAGAAAGUGUAAGGAUAGGCCGAUUGUGGUACAACUUGAGAAGUCCCAUCGUUCAGAAUUAUUCGACGGGGUAUAAGCAGGCGAAGAGAGACAUAGAAAUUGAAGAAAAAACAACGGCAAGGAUAAAGAGUGAGCAGCUAGAAGAGCUGAGGCGAAAAGAAAAGAGAACCCUGAGUAGGCGAGCUGGGGAAUCAUCAGUGAUAGGUGGAAUAUCAGCUCGGUCUCGCCCUUAUCCCAUGACUCAGAGACCGCAAUGACUCAGAGACCGCAACAGUUCCAACACAGCCGAGGUCAGCCUCCACGCCCCCCAUUCCUAGAGCGGCAACGAGAAUUCUGGCAGGUGGCUGCCCAUCCUUAUCACAACGCUCUCAGGGCAUCGCAUGCAAUUAACUCCAGGGGUGGUCGACCAAACCAACUACCUACAAUACCAGCCUGGGACGAUAUCCAUGAUAGCCGAGCAGUCCAACUGAUUUAUCAGAGCUUGGCGUAUAAACACUAUACAACAUUGAAAGUCUUUAUGGAGGAGUUGUAUAAGAGGAUUGAGGGACGAGGCCUGCUGUACCCUCUUGCCCCUAUAACCAAGCCCACUCACAAACGGGAUAAAAGCAGAUUCUGCAAAUUCCAUGAUACUCAUGGCCACACUAUCAGCCAGUGUCAUGACCUGAAGACUCAAGUGGAGGAUUUGGUGAGAAACCGAUACUUGGACGAAUAUGUAGAUGAUGCAUUCCUUGUCCUUGAGUCACAAUAUACUCAGAUAGACGGAGACGAUAGGAGUCUGGAGCGUGAGCAGCCAACCAUUCGGGUGAUAGCAGGAGGGCCAACCUUGACUGGAGAUUCCAAUAAGGCACGGAAGAAUUACGGGAGAUAUGCCAUGACCAGCAAAGAGGUGCUUUUCAAUUUGCCAACAGCCAAGACAGCGAAAGUGAGGCAAGUUCCCAUUAUGUGGACAGAUGAUGACGAAGAGGGUGUUUUAUAUCCUCAUGAGGAUGCACUGGUGAUUAAGGCAAUGGUGGCUGGUAAAGAAUUACGGCGAAUACUAGUGGACACAGGUAGCUCGGUUGACAUAUUGUUUAAGUCGGCCCUAGAUGAUAUGGGAAUUUCGGACUUAAAAUUGGAGCAGACGAAUACAUCAUUGAAGGGAUUUGGAGGAGGGCGGUUAACCCCCAUGGGAAUCAUCGAGCUCCCGAUUAUUGUAGGGUCAAAGCCGUUUGAAAGAACAAUGAUGCUGGACUUUGUCGUGGUAGAAGAGAGAAGCCCUUACCAGAUGAUACUGGGACGACCUUUUAUAAGGAUAAGACAAUGUGUCAUAUCCACGCAUUAUCUGGCAUUGAAACACAAAGUGAAUGGAGUUGGCAGUAUUGAACCGGUUCAUCUCGCGGGCCAUGGAUAAAUAUCACCCUUUUUUCCAAACCAUAAAGAAAGGGAAGAAAAUGGAAUGGACAUCAGAAUGUGAGGAGGCAUUUAGACAGCUGAAGGAAUAUCUUGCCCGCGCCCCGUUACUAUCGACUCCGAGAGAAGGUGACAAGCUGUAUUUAUACUUGGCUGUCUCUAAAUGGGCUACCAGCUCGAUAUUAGUAAGAGAAGAAGAAGGAAAGCAACACCCCUUGUACUACACUAGCAAGGCCCUUGUGGACGCAGAAACUAGAUAUCCACUGAUGGAGAAAUGGGCGCUAGCUUUAAUGACGGCAGCACGCAAGCUCAGACCGUACUUUCAGGCUCACCCGAUAGUAGUGAUGACUGACCAACCUCUUCGGUAAAUGCUCCAGAAACCAGAUGCAUAUGGUCGGCUAGUAAAAUAGUUAGUAGAGCUGAGCGAAUUCAAUCUAUCUUACAAACCACGAGGGGCAAUCAAAGCUCAAGCUCUGGCCGAUUUUAUGGUUGACCGUAUUGAACCAGGGGAAGAAGUUCAGGAGGAACAACCAGCUGAACAGGAGAAAUCAAAGGCGGUGUGGCUGGUAAUGGUUGAUGGGUCACAUAGUGAACAAGGGUCCGGAGCAGGAGUUGUAAUACGAAGCCCAGAAGGGGGCGAAGUAUCCUAUGCAGUGAAAUUCGAAUUCCAGCUCACAAAUAACCAAGAUGAAUAUAAAGCCUUUAUCACUGGGCUCGGGCUUGCACACGCACUACGAGCAGAGAGGGUAGAAAUUCGAGCAGACUCCCAGUUAGUCUGUAAUCAGCUCAGUGACCAAUUCCAAAUGAAGGAAGAGAAGAUGGGGCUUUAUUUGAAGAAGGCAAGCAGAUGGUUGGGCUUUUCCAAGAAGUAGAAAUAAAACAGAUAUCCCGGAAUAAAAGAUGGCCGUAAUUGCGGAUCCGAAAUUACCCAAGUCAGUUCCACUGGAAGUGAGGACCUCGCCAAGCAUAGAGGAGGAGGUAAAAGUAAUGCGGGUAAGCACGGAAGAAUCCUGGAUGGACUCGAUUCUCUCAUACAUCCGCGAUGGCAUCUUACCAGAAGAUAGGAAGCAAGCAAGGAAGUUGAAAUGUCGGGUAGCAAGGUAUACGCUACUCGAUGGGGUACUCUACCGCCGGGGAUUCACUUUGCCCUUUUUGAGAUGUUUGGAUGACGAGGAAGCAAAUUAUGUGCUGAGGGAGAUUCAUGAAGGAAUAUGCGGCAACCACUCGGGGGUGAGGACUUUGGCCUUUAAGGCACUUCGGUAAAAAUACUUUUUGCCGACUAUGCACCAGGAUGCGAAAAGGAUGGCAAAAAAUUGUAAAAUCUGCCAAAGCUUCUUGGAGGUUCCUACUCAGCCCUCAGAAUUGCUAACCGUUAUGUCAUCCCCAUGGCCUUUUGCCCAAUGGGGAGUUGACCUGAUUGGCCCAUUACCCAAAGGCCGAGGAGCCGCAAGUCAUGCAAUUGUGGCUAUAGAUUACUUUACUAAAUGGGUAGAAGUGGGAGUCCUCAGCCAAAUCACGGAGAGAAAGACAACGGAUUUUAUUUGGAGGAAUAUCAUCUACAGGUACGGGAUCUCCUAUGUUAUCAUUACAGACAAUGGGAGGCAGUUUGACAAUCACAACUUCAGAGAAUUUUGCCAAAACUUGGGUGUGGAUCUGAAGUUUUGCACCCCGGCACACCCCCAGGCAAACGGACAGGUAGAAGCAGCCAACAAAGUAAUAAAAAAACUCCUGAAAACCAGGUUGGGAGAGAAGAAGGGAGCUUGGGUUGACGAGCUACCAGGAGUGUUAUGGGCCUACCGGAAAACCCACAAAACUGCCAUGGGAGAAACCUUGUUUGCUUUAGCUUUCAGUCAUGAGGCAGUAAUCCCAGCAGAAAUUGGGGUGGGAACCCAUCGGACAGAAUAUUUCAACAAGGAACAAAACGACGAGCAGAUCUACAUAAACUUGUACCUGCUGGAGGAAAAAAGAGAAGAGGCCUCGCGGAAAGUGGCCCAAUGCCAGCAAAGAAUCAUGCGCUACUACAACAAGAAUGUACGCAUAAGGCAGUUCCGAGCAGGAGAUUGGGUGCUAAGAAAGGUGAACCAAAACACAAGAGAUCCUAGCCAUGGCGCUCUUGGCCCGAAAUGGGAGGGCCCGUACAAGGUAAUACGAACAACUGGCCCAGCAGCUUACAAGCUGGCUUACCCAAAUGGAUGAGAUGUGAAGAGGUCGUGGAACGCCGAGCACCUGAAGAAGAACUUCCAGUAAGCAAAGUGCUUUACUAAGUUUUUAUUUAGAUAAGUUAUUUCUGUUAAAUGCAUGAUGAAUUAUGGCACAUGCAUAUAUUUCACUUUUUGUAACCCAUGCAAAGUUCAAUAAAGAUGAAUUCAUCAUAAAUUCCCUCGCUAGACAAAUUUGACUAAGGCAAGCAAGUGCCUAUUCCUGCUCGGUCGCCUAAAGGACCAGCAGGCAAACCUACAAAUUUCGUUAAGGCAAGCAAGUGUAUAUUCCUGCUCGAUCGCCUAAAGGACCAGCAGGUAAAUUAACAAAUUUGGUUAAGGCAAGCAAGUGUCUAUUCCUGCUCGAUCGCCUAAAGGACCAGCAAGCAAACCUACAAAUUUUGUUAAGGCAAGCAAGUGCUUAUUCCUGCUCGGUCGCCUAAAGAACUAGCAGGUAAAUUUACAAAUUUCGUUAAGGCAAGCAAGUGCCUAUUCCUACUCAGUCGCUUAAAGGACCAGCAGGCAAACUUACAAAUUUGGUUAAGGCAAGCAAGUGCCUAUUCCUACUCGGUCGCCUAAAGGACCAGCAGACAAACUUACAAAUUUCGUUAAGGCAAGCAAGUGUCUAUUCCUGCUCGGUCGCCUAAAGGACCAGCAAUUAAAUUCACAAAUUUCGUUAAGGCAAGUGUCUAUUCCUACUUGGCCGCCUAAAGGAUCAGCAGGCCAAUUCUACAAAUUUUGCUAAGGCAAACAAGUGCCUGUUCCUGCUCGGUCAACUAAAGGACCAGCAGGCAAAGCCAAGGCAAGCAUGUGCCAACUCCUGCUCGGUCGUUGGAGGACUGGUAGGCAAAUUUUUACGAAACCAUUAAGGCUAGAAAUCGCCUACUUUUCCUCGGCCACUCAAAGACAAGCAGACAUAUUUCAAGGUAAUUUGCAGAAACAAUCCCAUGGCAAGAAAACAAUCAAAAACUAUCAAAAGUCGAUAAACAUCCAAGCAUUUUUAAACAAAUAAAAUUCCAAAAUUUACAAUAUAUAUAUAUAUAUAUAUAAGCCUAAGGAUUAUGAGGUUCAGCAACCUCGAUAAGAGAAUGAUCAGCAGCCUCAGAAGGGGAAGGACCAGCAACUUUGGGGGGAGCAGACGCUGAUCCCUGACCUGCUUCAAGAGCUUGAUCCCCUGCUUCCUCCUCCUGCACCCCACUUAAAUGAGCCUCCACCUGAUCCUGGUCCCCCUGCUCCUUAUCCCUUUGAUCUGCCUCGGCCAUAUAUUUCCGCACUCCAGCCUCCAGUUUGCUCAUGUUAAGCUCUGGAUAUUUUUCCUUAAGCACAAACAUGAUGCACUUGUAGCAAAAGGCGAGCCUGGAGUUAUACUCUGCAUCCAGCCGAUCGUCCACAUCAGCAGAUUUACCUUUCAGCUCGGCUACUUGCUCAUUUAAAGACUUGAUCUGCUCCUCAAGGGUCGUCUCCAAAGUAUCACUUUGAGUAGCCUAGAGAUCAGACUUCAAGUCACCCAGCUCAACCUCAAGCUUGGUGGAGUUGGACUCAUCAAUGGCCACUUUCUCUUCUAGAUCCAUGAUCUGCUUGUGCAGAUCAAGCAGCUUUUCCUUCGAGCGGUCAGCAGACUAAGCCUUUUUCUUUAAGUCUUGGUUAUCAGCUUGAAGCCUCCUCUCAUGGCGCGUGGACCUAUUCUUGUAGCAAGAAACCAGAGUAGCUAGCUUAAAGGAGACCCUCUCACUGGAACCAGCUAACUCGCUGAAGUUCAUGCUCUCAAUAUCCUUGACCAUUUUUUAUCCCAUCGACUUGCCAUAGUCCCUCUGGUACGGGGUCAGAUAGUCACCUUGGUCCCGAGGCAGAAGAGGAAAGGAUCGAUCUCCAGAUUGAAUGCUGACCUCAGGACUCUUGUCGCUAACCUUCUCUCUGCCAUUCUUCUGAGGUGGAGGAGGGGGCAGAGUAGGAGCAGAAGCCUUAGAGGGGCUAACAUUGGUUUUCUUCAAAGGAGAGGGGUGUUGCUGGACCUACCUGAAACCCUAGCACGUUUCCUUAACAUAGCGCUAAGGAUCUUGUUAUCCAUCCCGGCAGCUACGUCCACUAAGCGUGACCCGACGAGAUUUAUUGACGAUUGGAGAUCUUGACAGGUAGACGCGUUCACCAGAGCAGUUUCCACCUGGAGCAAUGGUUUGUCGUCAAGAUUCUUGAUCAGGCCCCAAGACUCUGAAAGAACAAACAAGGUUAAGGAACCCAAUAAGUAACGAUCAGAGAAGUGAAGUAUGCAGAAAAAUAAACGACCUGGGGUGACAAAACGCGUUGGAAGGUGAAUAUCACCACCAAGCGAAUGGAUUGCUGGACACCAAUUCCCUCUAGCAAAGAAGAAUUUGUUCUUUCAGUUUUUACAUGAGGAAGGAAAGCCAGUGAUAGGUUUCCUCUUUGCAGAGUUUGACAUGAAGUAGUACCAGCCUACUUCCUUUGGGCUGCUCCUCAGCUGAUACAAAUGUUUUACUUCCGCAAGGGAAGGCUCCCCGAGUCCACACCUUUCCCAUAAAACAUACAAGGCUGAAAGAACUCUCCACCCAUUCGGGUGAAGCUGAACUGGAGCCACUUAAGCACAAACAUGAUGCACUUGUAGCAAAAGGCGAGCCUGGAGUUAUACUCUGCAUCCAGCCGAUCGUCCACAUCAGCAGAUUUACCUUUCAGCUCGGCUACUUGCUCAUUUAAAGACUUGAUCUGCUCCUCAAGGGUCGUCUCCAAAGUAUCACUUUGAGUAGCCUAGAGAUCAGACUUCAAGUCACCCAGCUCAACCUCAAGCUUGGUGGAGUUGGACUCAUCAAUGGCCACUUUCUCUUCUAGAUCCAUGAUCUGCUUGUGCAGAUCAAGCAGCUUUUCCUUCGAGCGGUCAGCAGACUAAGCCUUUUUCUUUAAGUCUUGGUUAUCAGCUUGAAGCCUCCUCUCAUGGCGCGUGGACCUAUUCUUGUAGCAAGAAACCAGAGUAGCUAGCUUAAAGGAGACCCUCUCACUGGAACCAGCUAACUCGCUGAAGUUCAUGCUCUCAAUAUCCUUGACCAUUUUUUAUCCCAUCGACUUGCCAUAGUCCCUCUGGUACGGGGUCAGAUAGUCACCUUGGUCCCGAGGCAGAAGAGGAAAGGAUCGAUCUCCAGAUUGAAUGCUGACCUCAGGACUCUUGUCGCUAACCUUCUCUCUGCCAUUCUUCUGAGGUGGAGGAGGGGGCAGAGUAGGAGCAGAAGCCUUAGAGGGGCUAACAUUGGUUUUCUUCAAAGGAGAGGGGUGUUGCUGGACCUACCUGAAACCCUAGCACGUUUCCUUAACAUAGCGCUAAGGAUCUUGUUAUCCAUCCCGGCAGCUACGUCCACUAAGCGUGACCCGACGAGAUUUAUUGACGAUUGGAGAUCUUGACAGGUAGACGCGUUCACCAGAGCAGUUUCCACCUGGAGCAAUGGUUUGUCGUCAAGAUUCUUGAUCAGGCCCCAAGACUCUGAAAGAACAAACAAGGUUAAGGAACCCAAUAAGUAACGAUCAGAGAAGUGAAGUAUGCAGAAAAAUAAACGACCUGUGGUGACAAAACGCGUUGGAAGGUGAAUAUCACCACCAAGCGAAUGGAUUGCUGGACACCAAUUCCCUCUAGCAAAGAAGAAUUUGUUCUUUCAGUUUUUACAUGAGGAAGGAAAGCCAGUGAUAGGUUUCCUCUUUGCAGAGUUUGACAUGAAGUAGUACCAGCCUACUUCCUUUGGGCUGCUCCUCAGCUGAUACAAAUGUUUUACUUCCGCAAGGGAAGGCUCCCCGAGUCCACACCUUUCCCAUAAAACAUACAAGGCUGAAAGAACUCUCCACCCAUUCGGGUGAAGCUGAACUGGAGCCAGAUACAUGCCACCCAAUAUCCGGGCAAAAUAAGGUUAAAGGGGUAACCGAAUCCCUAGCUUAAAACUCUCCAGAUGCAUCGUCACAUACCCCUUUGGAGGCCGACUGGGGACAUCACCUUUCCUAGGGAUUACGAGGAAAACCUCCUUAUGGAUAUUGUAAAGGUUUCUAAGCUUGAGUAGGUCAGUGUGGGUAGUAGCACAAGUAAUGUAGUCAAUGGGAUACGCAUAUACCUCCAUCAUAUGACCAAGGUUUCUCUUCUUAGAGGGUCUGUUCGACUCGGAACUACUCUCCUCACCUUCACCACUUCCUCAGGGACCCUAGCCCCCUGAGAGCUGUGAUUUUCACCAGAGCCCGAGGCCGAUCCACCACGGGUUCCCACAGGUUCUAAAUCAGGGGAAGACAAAGUGGUCACGUGACGAGGGUAUUCAGGGGUAUCCCUAGGAUAGGAGGGACCUACAUUGCGAGAAGAGCAUAGGGGAUCAUUAGGUCCAAACAGGUUGGGGUAUGAGUCCUCUACCUCUUCAUCACUCUCAUCUACAAUUAUUUUUCCCUUUCGGUUUGACAUAUCGAAAUCUUAAAAGGGAAAGCACAACAAAUCCAAGUAUAUGGGUACAAAAAGGGACAAUACAGAACCCAAGCAACAACAACCAGAUAAGAAGUUAAAGGCGAUACCUGGAGUAGAUUAGCACUGGUAGCGCUGCCGUGACGGAGAAAGGGCCUAACAAACAAAGAUUUCCGACGCGGACAAUGCGAUUAAAGUCCAAAGAAGAAGUUGGCUUACGGCAGAAUAGCAGAUAGCGAAACACAAUGGCACUUUCAAUCUAGGGAUUUAAAAUGAAAGGGGGGAAUGAAGACGUUUAAGUUACACGGGUGUCAGCUAAGUCGGCGCAUAUCGUGGACAGAUAAGCUGUUGUUUUAAAUUUCAAAAUAGGAAAGGGCGAGAAGCGACACAUCACUGGCCAUUAGAAAACGCCUAAUGAGACCCUAGCCCAGCAAUAUAUUGGACACGCUCGCUAAGGCCCAUACCUAGACCAAAGUCUCCUUAAACAAGAGAAGGAACCCGAGGUCCAUUAUAAUAACACGAGGACCAGAAAGAUGUUUCCCGAGGUCGGUAAGAUCCAGUUCUCAGUUUUUAAUCUUAAAUCAUUUCACUCACAAGACAAGAAACUGGGGGACUAGUGUUGAGUAAUAGAAAGUACCAGCUCGGCCAUGCCCUCAUCUCUCAUCCUGAGGCGAACCUCAUCAGCUAAAUGACACGAGAAGAGUCCUGGUAAAACAUCUUGUCCUGGCAUGUGCCAACUAGAGACGAGCACCGACCAAAGAAAUAUACCGACCAGAGAUAUACACCGGCCAGAUGCACAUCAUCCAAAGAAAGAGCACACGAUCUCACGUAAUUGCGACAGUUUCGUUAUGCCCCGAACCGUCAGGAAAGACAUGGCAUCCCACGUUUAACCACAAUCCAAGAGUUGGAGACCCAUGGGGGUCUGCCAUCACCCGAAAAAAGGGGGGCAUGAAGGAUACACAGAAACAUGGGGCAACGACUAUAAGAAGCUAGGAGAUCAAUGAAAAAAUGGGACAAAAAAUUGAGAGAAAAAGGGGAAACUCUGCCAAAUUGAAACCAGGCUACAUUCCAUACGAAUUUUUGAGAGCACUACAAGAAAUCAUACAAUUUAAAUUACACUGUUUUUCCGUAAACACCUUGUGCUAACUUAGGCAUCGGAGAGUUUACACCGGUAAAACCACUGGCGUCUCUGAUCUAUCUCUGUGAGUGCAAGAUUAGAAAGAGGGAAAAGGGGUGAUUCCAAUCCCUGGAGCUUUGCCAAUUGCGGAAGGAGGCAAAAGAGCAACGUCCUUUCCAUUGAACGUACAAGCAUUGGUGGAACGAUCUGGUCGGUCAUAGAGCGAGCAGAUUUCAGCAUCAACAAUUACUUUCUUCACAAGAACUUUUGAUAACUAUUUUGCCCGAAUUAACACAACUAAAUGUAAAUGACCUACCAAAACUAUUUUACAAGUUGAAGCAAAUUCCGAAAUUAGAUAUAUACAUGGGUAUAUUCUUCGUAAACCACUGACCAAAAAUAUUAAAAAACCAUAGAUACUAUCAGUAAUUAGAACCCAAAAAAAAAAAGAUUCUAGAAAACAGAACAGCUAACUAAUAAGUGUUACAGACCUGUAUUUAUGAAAUUGCUUGAUACAGUUGUUUCCGGAGCCAGUAAACUCCCUUGCUUCUUAAUUUCAUCCAGCAGUGCACGGAGCACGGGCAUGUUCUUAAAUUCUUCUUUUUUCUUUGAAUUGUUGAUUUAUAGUGCCUUGCAUGCAAAAUUCAAAAUUUCGGAUGAUGAUAAUCUUGUUUUAGAAGAGAUUUCUAGUUAAUGUAGCAUCAUUCUUUAUCAUGGCAUCACAAGCACAUGCUCUGGUUUGCUCAGUUUGCUUUUUGUCUCUGAUAUUUUCUUGGCAUUGUGGGAUAUUGUUUCUUUUUUUAUUUUUUGUUUUUGUUGUUAUAGGAUUUGGAGAUAGUGUAUAUGUAUGACAAUGAUAUAAUAAAGUGCUUUUGAUAAAUUCGCCUGGUUGGUUUACUUCACUAACCAUUAGUGAGCAAAUCCUCCCAGUGACCCUCAAACUGUUCUACACAAACAAUGAAGGAACAAGUUAAGUAGAGCCAAUAAACAGGGGAAAGUGAAUUACUGUCCUUGAGCACAUUAAUAAUCUCGGCUAUCUAUGUACAAUUUUGUAAAUUCAUGUCAUAUACUAGAGUCUUCUGGGUUUUGUUGCAUCAAUUCUUUGGUGUUUAUCUUGUUUUAUUAUUUUAUGACGCAAGAGUCCUGGUAGCGAUGUAUCAAGAGUAAAAAGAUUUAAUUUAUUUUUCGUUAUUAUUGGUUUCUUUGUAACAAUUAAUUAAUCGACCCAUCGAGGUAUAUUGGUUUCUUUGUAACAAUUAGCUAAUUGCUUAAUACUUUUUUGUACUUCUCGCCAUGAAAUCACGAAGUACUUGCAAAUAAGAUCAUAGAGGGGGUGUGUUGUGAUGUGAUAAAAUCAUAUCUAAAUUAAGAGAUGAUUCAUAUAUAUAGGCACAUACUGAAUAAAGAUAUUUAAACACAAGCAUUCAAUUUUACGAUAUACCUAAUAAUCAAAGGUUUAAUGCUCAGGUUAAAAGGGAGUGAAUAAAAAUAAAUGUAAAAAGAUGAACAAGUGAACAUGAUAAUUUAUUAAAUAAAAAAUUAAAUUUAUAUCUAUUUUAAUAAGUGUAAAAUCAUUUCCACUCUAAAAUUUAUUUUGAGCACUCAUAUUUUUUAUUACAAAAAACUUCAUAAUUCCAUUUACUAAUAAGGAUGAUUCAAUAUAAGUAAAUAGGACAAUAAUACUUGUGACAUUCAUGUAAAAUUCUUAAACCUUAAACUGUAGAACACUCUUCAUCAAAACUCAUUUAAAAGCAUUUUUUUUUUACUUAGAUUUCGAGGAGGUUCUAUGAGAAUGACCAACUGCUGAAAAAUAAAUAAAAAACCAGAUACAAGUGUAGAAUAUUCUCAUUAAAUUUUAAUUUUUUGCACAAACAUGGCCUGCAUAUAUACACAAAUAACUGUUCUACGAAUAUGUAGAAGCAAUCUCAAUUGUCCAAUUUUGUUUUUCAAAUUUUAACGAAUAUAAAUUUUAUAUGUUGGGUAACUAUGGAAAAUAAGAUUAGGGAAAAUGAUAUUAUCAUUAAAUAGGGAAAGCAAAGGCAGUUAAUAUUGGUGUGAUGAAUAUUUUUAUGGGUGUACUAAGAAAAAUAAAGAUAAUAAAAUGAAUGCUAUUAGUAAUAUCACUAGCAAUCUUUCAUGUGAUGCACAAAUUACUUUUAUCACGUCUUUUAUAUAAAUACUCAUAAAUUUUACUCAAAUUAUCAAAAGAAAAAAAGAAGAAAAAAAUCAUAUAGUUAAUUUUUCUUCAAACUUACUCCAUUAUUCAAUAGGAGUAUAAUAAAGUAGGAGAAAGGAGAAAAUUAGGGUGAUUAUUGCAAUGAUAAGAACUCAGGCAAGUGCUUAUUUCAUAUGCAUGUGUGGCAUUCAUUAAUUUGACCAAAAAUAAAUGAAUUUAUUUGUAUUUUAAUCAAAAUCGAGGGACAUCAACAAAAUAUUUCCACUCCAGAUAUUUAUCAUUUUCUCGUUAAUAAAAAAAAUUGCAUAAGAUGUUAUAAUUAAUGCAAAGUCUUGUCCUCUUGACAAGUUUGGUAUUGUCUUGUCCUCUUGACAAGUUAUGCUUUGUUGACUGGCAGGUCUCUGCUUUUGGUUUCGUUGGUUUUUCUCUAUCUGGUAUUACUCUGUUUCAUCACCAUGGCGGGUACUACUGCUGCUGCGGAGGCUGAAGUAAGGGAGGUGUAUUCUCAGUUAUCGAUUGAUGAGGAAGAGGAAGUUGGUUUGGUCUUUAAGGAGGAUGAGAUUCAGGCUGAGAAAGGGGCAAAGCUCAAUCUUCAAUUCUGCCUGGUGGGGAGUUUUCUUACUGAUAAAGCUAUAAAUUUUCCAGCCAUGAAGAAUACAAUGGCAGCUUUAUGGAGGCCUGGAAAAGGGAUCUGCAUCAAAGAUUUAUCACCUACCUUGUUCCUAUUCCAAUUUUUUCAUGAGGUGGAUAUACAAAGAGUUUUGGAUUCCGGCCCUUGGACGUUUGAUCAGCACUUGCUGAUUAUGAAACGGUUAAGCACGGAUGAACAACCACAAAGUGUGUCUCUAUUUCACACUUCCUUUUGGAUUCAAGUGUAUAACCUUCCCAUUGGUUUCCUCACAGCCAAAGUCCUGCAAAAUAUUGGUAAUUUCAUUGGAGAGUUUCAAUCUUCCGAUGCUAACAAUUUCAUGGGAGUGUGGAGGAAUUAUAUGCGUAUACGAGUUUUGCUAGAGAUGGUUGCGUUCAGGGCCGUUGGAAGGGGGUGAACCCCUAAUUGGCAGUUGCGUGACAUCUGGAGGAUCAAGGGUAAUUAGUGAAACGAAUCCCACAAUACCGGACAUUUCCAUUUAUAAUGACAGUGCUGGAAUGGAAGUCAAUGGAAAUAAAGAGCUUCACAUGGCGGUCGUGGUUGGCAAGCCAACUCAUAGUCAACGGAUUGCAAAAGGCAAGGACGUGGAACAUGCAUACAAUGAGGAUGAUUUGCUUAAGGAAGGUGUUUUUGAAUUUGGGCAAGGAAUGAUUGUUAAGGAAACUAAAAGAAGGCGGGCUCAACUUGGACUGGAAUUCACAGGAGGGACAGAAGUGGAUGGGCCUUCGAAUUUGAUGAAUAUAGAUGUGGAUCCAAAAAACGGGCUAGCGGUGGGACCUGUCUUUCAGGCCCACCGACAACAAUGAGUACCCUAAGUUGGAACUGUCGUGGGCUGGGCCUCCCACGAACAGUUCAAGUUCUGACCGAGUUGGUUAAGCAUAAAAAGCCCUCUUUUCUUUUUCUUAUGGAAACUUUAAGCUGUAGAGCUCCCUUAGAAAAUUUAAAAAAUAAAUUGGGUUACGAUGGGUUGUUUGUAAUAGAUCGUGUGGGCCGGAGUGGUGGGCUUGCUUUGUUUUGGCAAUUUCACUUUAAGGUGAAACUUUUGAAAUAUGGGCGUACGUUUAUUGAUGUUGAGGUUUCAAAUUCGGAGAUGGGGGUUUGGCGGGUCACGGGUUUUUAUGGAUAUCCAGAAUCCAAUCGUCGGCGGGAAUCAUGGCAUCUUCUACGUCGGCUUGCCUCUCUCUCUACUCUUCCAUGGGUUUGUCUUGGAGAUUUUAACGACUUGCUUGAUUCUAGUGAAAAGAAUGGCUCUCGGCCUCAUGCUGCCUGGAAAAUCCACGGUUUUCGAAGUGCCAUUUCUGAUGCUGGGCUUUCGGAUUUGGGUAUGGUUGGGUAUCAGUUUACUUGGGAAAGGGGUAGAGGCACUGUCAAUUGGGUUGAAGAGCGCCUGGAUCGAGCUUUUUCAUCCUCCUCUUGGCGAGACAAAUUUCCCAAUGCUCAAGUUCAGAGUAUGGAGGCUGAUAGCUCAGAUCACUUACCCAUUUUUUUGGAUCCAAUUCAUAACUUUCAUUCAGCCUCUCGGGUCAGCCGUUUUCGUUUUGAGAACCUUUGGCUUCGCGAAGCUGAUUGUGAACAGAUAGUUAGAUGCAGCUGGGAUGAUACAACCGAUCUUUUAAUCCAACAAAAGCUCUCGGUUUGUGGGUUAAAGUUGAUGAAUUGGGGAGGGCAUAUGGUCCGUGAUUUCCGUAGUCGUCUAAAGGAAUACAAGACCCGUAUGAGAACCUUGCGAGGUCGUCGCGAUAUGGUAGGCCUUAUAGAGUUCACUGAAGUUCGCAAACGAUACAAUGAGCUCCUACACAGUCACGAAAUUUUUUGGAAGCAGCGAGCUAAGGCCCUUUGGUUGAAAGAAGGGGAUCUGAAUUCUCGCUAUUUUCAUUCAAUGGCAUCUACGCGGAAGAAGAAAAAUUCCAUUGUCAAAUUACGGAAUGCUCAAGGGGUGUGGUGUGCUGACUCAGGGGAAAUUGAUACACUCAUUAGAACUUAUUUUACAGAGCUUUUUUCUUCAAAUGGUAGCAAUAGUGAGGCUGUAAUUUCCUCUGUAAUGACUUCUAUUACGGCUGAGCAAAACCAGAUUCUGUUGGCUCCAUUCACUGAUGCUGAUGUCAAAGAAGCUCUGUUCAGUAUGCACCCUGACAAAUCGCCAGGACCUGAUGGUAUGAACCCUGCUUUCUAUCAAAAAUUUUGGCAUAUUGUGGGGGGAGAUGUUUCAGCUGCUUGCCUUUAUUUUAUAGCUAAUAAACAAUUCCCUUUGGAUUUAAAUAAAACACUCAUUGUUUUGAUUCCUAAAAAAGCACAGCCUGAGGUUUUAGCAGAUAUGCGGCCAAUCGCUUUGUGUAAUGUGCUCUAUAAAAUUAUUGCCAAAAUGCUUGCUAACCGUUUGAAGCUUGUCCUUGAUUCUGUUAUUUUUGACUCUCAAAGUGCUUUUGUUCCCGGAAGAGCCAUAACGGACAACAUUUUAAUCUCAGCCGAAAUAAUGCAUUUUUUGAAGAGGAAACGACAGGGAAAGAAGGGGGUUGCAGCACUGAAAAUUGAUAUGGCUAAGGCCUACGACCGUGUUGAAUGGGACUUUCUUAAAGCAAUGAUGUCGAAGAUGGGUUUUGCUGAUGAAUGGGUUCAGUUGGUCAUGCUUUGUGUUACGACAGUAAGCUAUAGUGUGCUCAGGGAUGGUAAUGAAGUAGGCCCUAUUAUUCCGAAAAGGGGACUUCGUCAAGGAGACUCGUUAUCACCCUACCUUUUCUUACUGUGUGCUGAGGGGUUUAGCUCUUUAAUUGCCAAAUAUGAGAAAGCGGGGUUGAUUCAUGGAGUUCAAGUUGCUAGGAAGGCUCCAGCAAUAUCUCACCUCCUUUUUGCAGAUGAUUGUUUCUUAUUUUUUCGUGCAAACCAAGUGGAAGCGAACUUAGUCAAGCAGGUGUUGUGUGCAUAUGGCAAUGCUUCUGGGCAGUGUGUUAACUAUGCCAAAUCUUCUAUCUCAUUUAGUAUGAAUGUGAACGAAGAUACUGCACAGCAGAUUUGUACUACUCUUGGGGUUAUGGCAACAGAAAAUCAUGGACCAUAUUUGGGGCUGCCCUAAAAAAUUGGUAGGAAACGCAGCGAUGUCUUUCGGUUUGUAAAGGAGAAGGUCUGGAAGAAGCUUCAAGGGUGGAAUAAGCAGUUUUUAUCUAGAGCAGGGAAAGAAAUACUAUUAAAAACGGUUGCCCAAGCCGUGCCAAAUUUUGUGAUGAAUAUAUACCUACUUCCGCUAGAGUUGUGUAAGGAGCUUGAGAUCAUGAUGAACUCCUUUUGGUGGGGUAAUAGCCGUAAUCAUGGGAGAGGCAUUAAUUGGAUGCGCUGGGAUGCUCUGUGUAAACCCAAGUCAGCUGGGGGAAUUGGAUUCAAAAAGCUUCAUGCUUUUAAUCUUGCUAUGUUAGGGAAGCAAGGCUGGAAAUUGAUGACAAAGCCGAACUCUUUAGUUGCACAAAUAUUAAAAGCGAGGUAUUAUUCUCGAACUUCUUUUGCUGGAGCUACUUUGGGGCAUAAUCCUAGCUACGCAUGGCGGUCCAUUAUGGCAGCAAAGCAGGUUGUUAUUGAAGGAAGCCGAAUUCGAAUUGGGGAUGGUGAGCAAACAUUUAUUGGCAAGGAUCCAUGGCUUCCUGACAGUGAGUGUGGAUUUAUCAACACUUUGUUGAGUGAGCAAGUUAAGGCAGCCCAAGUUAGCUCGUUAAUGGUUCCUAGCACUAGAACUUGGGAUUCUGAUAUUCUUAAUGAUAUUUUUAAUGAAAGGGAUAAGAAUCUAAUAUGGCAGAUCCCUCUGAGCAACAGAAGCAAUGCGGAUUCAUGGUAUUGGAUGCAUGAGGCCAAAGGGGUUUAUACUUGUGUUACGACAGUAAGCUAUAGUGUGCUCAGGGAUGGUAAUGAAGUAGGCCCUAUUAUUCCGAAAAGGGGACUUCGUCAAGGAGACUCGUUAUCACCCUACCUUUUCUUACUGUGUGCUGAGGGGUUUAGCUCUUUAAUUGCCAAAUAUGAGAAAGCGGGGUUGAUUCAUGGAGUUCAAGUUGCUAGGAAGGCUCCAGCAAUAUCUCACCUCCUUUUUGCAGAUGAUUGUUUCUUAUUUUUUCGUGCAAACCAAGUGGAAGCGAACUUAGUCAAGCAGGUGUUGUGUGCAUAUGGCAAUGCUUCUGGGCAGUGUGUUAACUAUGCCAAAUCUUCUAUCUCAUUUAGUAUGAAUGUGAACGAAGAUACUGCACAGCAGAUUUGUACUACUCUUGGGGUUAUGGCAACAGAAAAUCAUGGACCAUAUUUGGGGCUGCCCUAAAAAAUUGGUAGGAAACGCAGCGAUGUCUUUCGGUUUGUAAAGGAGAAGGUCUGGAAGAAGCUUCAAGGGUGGAAUAAGCAGUUUUUAUCUAGAGCAGGGAAAGAAAUACUAUUAAAAACGGUUGCCCAAGCCGUGCCAAAUUUUGUGAUGAAUAUAUACCUACUUCCGCUAGAGUUGUGUAAGGAGCUUGAGAUCAUGAUGAACUCCUUUUGGUGGGGUAAUAGCCGUAAUCAUGGGAGAGGCAUUAAUUGGAUGCGCUGGGAUGCUCUGUGUAAACCCAAGUCAGCUGGGGGAAUUGGAUUCAAAAAGCUUCAUGCUUUUAAUCUUGCUAUGUUAGGGAAGCAAGGCUGGAAAUUGAUGACAAAGCCGAACUCUUUAGUUGCACAAAUAUUAAAAGCGAGGUAUUAUUCUCGAACUUCUUUUGCUGGAGCUACUUUGGGGCAUAAUCCUAGCUACGCAUGGCGGUCCAUUAUGGCAGCAAAGCAGGUUGUUAUUGAAGGAAGCCGAAUUCGAAUUGGGGAUGGUGAGCAAACAUUUAUUGGCAAGGAUCCAUGGCUUCCUGACAGUGAGUGUGGAUUUAUCAACACUUUGUUGAGUGAGCAAGUUAAGGCAGCCCAAGUUAGCUCGUUAAUGGUUCCUAGCACUAGAACUUGGGAUUCUGAUAUUCUUAAUGAUAUUUUUAAUGAAAGGGAUAAGAAUCUAAUAUGGCAGAUCCCUCUGAGCAACAGAAGCAAUGCGGAUUCAUGGUAUUGGAUGCAUGAGGCCAAAGGGGUUUAUACAGUCCGCAGCAGCUACAAGAUGUUGGCUCCAUGUUUGGAUAUUCCUUCUAGUAGUAUUUGGAAUCAGUUAUGGAGAUUAGAGGUGCCAAGUAAAGUGAAGCACUUCAUGUGGCGAGCAUUGACAGAUGUCCUGCCUACAACCGAGAAUCUCCUCAAAAAAUAUGUAGAGGUACCCCCUGCUUGUAUUACUUGCCAUGCUAGUUCUGAAAGUAUUUGCCAUCUAUUGCUUCAAUGCCCCUUUGCGCGAACUUGCUGGAUGACCUCUUCUAUUGGAUUCUUUGGGGAUGGGUCAAAUCUUUUGCUCUGGUUGGAAGCUUUGUUUAACAGGUAUAGCCUUGAGCAAACUCAACUUGCUGUUAUGAUCUGUUGGAGUCUUUGGCAGAAUCGAAAUGCUAUGGUUUGGCGUGGGAAGACCUCUGGUGUGCAGCAACUCCUCAAUUCUGCUGGUCAUUUUCUUUUUCAAUGGCAGUCUGUCAGGAAGCAUCAGUUUCUGUUUUCUCAGCCUUCUCCUAUAGGUCACGGUGCAAUUUGUUGGGAACCUCCAUUGGCUGGUAGAUUAAAGUGUAAUGUGGAUGCAGCCAUGUUUGCUUCCAGGGGUUAUAUUGGCUUAGGUAAUGUUAUAAGAGACUCAAAUGGUGCAUUUGUGGCAGCUAGGUGUUGUAGCAUUCCUGGAAGAUUUAGUGCUCGUGAUGCUGAAGCACUUGGUGUUCGCGAGGCCCUUAGUUGGAUUAAGCAACUACAACUGUCUAAUGUUACUAUUGAGAUGGAUUCCUUAAAUGUGUACAAUGCUCUAGUUACUAAUCUCUCGGGUCCUAGUAGUUUUAGUCUUAUUAUUGAAGACUGUCGUGCUUUGUCUAAUUCAAUACGAGAUGUAUCUUUCUCUUUUGUUAGACGGUCUGCGAAUUCUGUUGCCCACUCUGUAGCUCAGGCAGGGAAUUCUUUAUCAGGCCACGGAGAGUGGAGGGCUGUUCCACCUCCGUUCUUAAUUGCUUAAGCAAAACCCUAAAACAAAAACAAAAGACAACUCUUUGGACUCGAGCGAUGCCUCUGACUCCGACCCAGAUUCUGACUCAGAAGACGAAGCAAAACAAAACAUGGAGCUUCAAAACUUGAGUAUCAGCUAUCCAAUAAACCUUCCAAUUACGACACCCAUUUUCAAGUAACUUCAAUAUGCAUACUUAUUCAAUGAUUUUGUGGAUACCCAUUUGCUUUUUCUUUCUUAAUUGGGUUGCGAUAAAUAUGGCUUUUUUUUUCUUCAGUAUAUAAAGGUUUUGAGAAAAAUGGGUGAGAUAGAGAAGCUGAGACAAGCUAGGGAAGCGACGAAAGAUAUUUUUUCCAUUGACUCCUGCUAGGUGGAAAGAAUGGGCGAGAGAUGAAGCCUCUAUUUCAACUGGGUAUCUGUCAUUUCCUUUUUGCAGUGGUUUUCGAUUUUUUGAACAAAUAUUUUUUCGCUUAAAGAUAUAGAUGUAUAUGUUUGUUAUUUGCUAAUGUAAAAAGGAACAAAACCUGCUUAAAAGGUAUUAAAGAAAGAAAAAGAGAACCAAUUUGAAGAAAGGGAUACUUAUAGUGGGAGUUCUAUUCUUUGGGGUUUAAUUGAUGGGAGAAGAAACAGCUUAUAUGUUUACAGACAUAGACAUUCGAUUGCUGAGUUAGCUGAGGAAGAUAAUUAAUCACAUGUUUGAUGUUGUUUCUGUUGGCCUCAGCUAAUUGUUAAGAUUUCAUACUUUUUUCUGGUUUUUCAUAACUGUGACCUAAAGCUUAAUGUAUACUUUGAUAAUUACAUAAUCGGUUUCUUGCUGAUACUUGGCUUUAAUUUGUAGACCUGAGGCUCUUUUGGGAGUUGGGAAGAUUUACGAAAGAGGAGUUUCUGAUUAUCUGGUUUGUUCUCUUUAUGCCUACAGAAUUUGAAUUCAUACUAUGCAUGAAUUUAUGAUUCUUUGAGAAAGAUUUUAUUCUUGAGAAAGAUUUGAUGAAAUUUAAGCAUUAUAGUAAAGCAUACCACUGGUAAGCUUGAUUCACUUUGUUUUUAUUUACUACCAAGAGGUGCUAACAGUUCAUGAUAAACAAAAAGAGGUGGGGAAAAAAAGAUAUCUUCUUGCUAGAUCCAUAAAUUUAAUAUUUGAAUCAUUUUCAAACAAAGAAAUGUGCUGAAGAGCAGCAUUUUCGUUUAUAUCAAAGUUCAAUUGCAUCUUAUAUCAUCUGUUUCCAUCUCCUUUGUGGUAAAUAAAGUCCUUGAUGAUGACAAUAAGAAUCACAGAAGAAAUUAAUUUCAUAUCUGGUGAUUUUCAUCAUAGUAGUUCAUUGAAAGUGAAGGCAGCUGAGUACUCCUUUUUCUGAUGCAGUCUGUCCCUCUUUGGUGUGAUUAUUUGAAAUUUGUGCAAGAAUAUGAUCCAUCUAUACGAGAAUGUGCCUAAUAAAAUAUCACAAAGGUGCCUAAUACAGUGAAAUUAACAUAUUCAGGUCAUGAGAUUGCCAUUAUAUAUAUUGAAAAAGAAAUUAAUAUAAGAAACUGAAAAUUAAUUGACACUGGAUCAUGUUGGAUUGUUAGUUGUUAAUUAUGAUGGCAAUAUAAUCUUGGUCUUUUAAUUAUCAUCUCGCUAAUGCAUGUGCACUUUCAUUUGUGUCUAUCACUGAAGAAUAAAGUUGCUUGAUUGAACAGCAUCAUAUGACAGAAACUCAAAACUCAAUUUCAUUGCGCAAGCAUACCAUGCCAUAUGUAGCCCAAAAGUGCAAUUAACAUUGAACAUUCAGCUAGCUUGCUCGUACUAAUUAAUUUAUAGGAUUGCUAGUUCUUUAUGAUUCACUAAAAGAGAAAAUAUUUGACAAUCACGAAAACAACAACAAUUCACUCCCAUAAACAACAUAAUAGAUACAUGGUCUAUAUUGCAAGUCUUUUUAUGAUUUUAAUUAAAAGAGAAAAUGCAAAGGACAUAUUAUAUAUAAUUGAAUGUUCUCCUUGAUAAUUAGUCAAAAUAACGCCAAUCUGGCUAACUAAUACAAUCAUCAUAAUUAUCUGAUUUUCAUUUUAAUUAUGUCCAAGCAUGCUAAUUUAAUAAAGAACACAGAAUAUAUGAGUAUUUAUAUGUUUAACAACUUUGGCUGAGUAUGAAAAAUAUAAGAGCUGCAUUUAUGCUUUGUGUUAUUAAGUAGGACAUGACCAUAUUAUGUUGCAUUUGUCAGAAAACUGAAAAUUAUUGAAAAGGAUCUUAAAAGAGAUGUGUUGAAUUGUGAGCUUAAAAAUGAGUUUUAGAAGUUUCUGACAUGUCGGUUUAUAUCCUUGAUUGUGCAUGCCCUGUCGGUUUCUGGAUGAAACAGGAGAAUAUGACAUCUGUUUAUUGUCUUUUACUUCCAGUAAGUGAAUCACAUGUUCUUCACGUGAUUUGACAUGCUUUAUACGGAUUUAGCAGUUGUUUUGGUCACUUAUUGAAGCACGAGUUAAGCACGUGAUUCAAGGUUGUUAACCGACCGUUGUAAGGUAGGAAAAUUCUGGGUUUCUUACAACAAACCCAGAAGGCAGCUGGUGAGUGGGAGAUGUUUCUAGAUUCUUCAUGAUCUGUAUAUAUAGUCUUAGAGGCUAUAGUUGAGCCAUAUGAAAAGCUUGUAACUUCUUAAUGUUUGUAGCUUGUUCUUGGUAAUUGCUCUGAACAGGGAAGUGAGCUAAAAUGAUAUCAACUUUUAUUUAUGGGCAGGUUAAGAAAAUUUGAGUUUCUCAAAAAUGGCUUCCAUGAGAUCAGCAGUUCUUUGGAUUUAUCUUUCGAAUAUGAUUUGGUUGCUGAUGAGAAAAUUCCAUUCCUAGCUUAUCUUGCCAGUGUUCUAAAGGAGCAUUCCUUUUUCCCAUAUGAGCCACCAGCUGGAAGCAAAAGAUUCAGGAAUCUGAUUGCUGACUUCAUGAAAAUGUACCACCAUAUUCCACUAAAUGCUGAUGUGAGAAAACCUUCACCACUCAUCUGUUUUUUUACUUCUCUGGCCAAGUAAUUUUUAUAUUGUCUGUCCUAGAUUCUGUUUUCCCUGAUGCAUUAUUUCAAUUUCUUUGCACGUGAAGUCCUAGGAUCUGUUUCCCCUGAUGCAUUAUUUCAAUUUCUUUGCAUGUGAACUUGGAGCAUUCAUAUUAUUUUAGGAGUGAAUCUAUUGGUCAUUUACUUGUUUGUAACAAAUAACGUAUGAAACAAUCUUGUUAUUUUUUGUUCUCAAUAUGUAGAGCUCUAUGGACCAAUUGCCUGUCUUCUGUUAUCCUCAUUAGAAUUUCUUCAUACUACUUCCACUUCAUGCUAUUUGU